Molecule: non-coding RNA, 73738 nt
Organism: Podarcis lilfordi (Lilford's wall lizard)
Lineage: Eukaryota; Metazoa; Chordata; Lepidosauria; Squamata; Lacertidae
Source: the annotation of a GenBank genome assembly
GUCUUCUCUUCUCAUGAGGUGGCCAAAGUAUUGGAGCCUCAGCUUCAGGAUCUGUCCUUCCAGUGAGCACUCAGGGCUGAUUUCCUUCAGAAUGGAGAGGUUUGAUCUUCUUGCAAUCCAUGGGACUCUCAAGAGUCUCCUCCAGCACCAUAAUUCAAAAGCAUCAAUUCUUCAGCGAUCAGCCUUCUUUAUGGUCCAGCUCUCACUUCCAUACAUCACUAGUGGGAAAACCAGAACUUUAACUAUACGGACCUUUGUUGGCAAGGUGAUGUCUCUGCUUUUUAAGAUGCUGUCUAGGUUUGUCAUUGCUUUUCUCCAAGAAGGAGGUGUCUUUUAAUUUCGUGGCUGCUGUCACCAUCUGCAGUGAUCAUGGAGCCCAAGAAAGUAAAAUCUCUUACUGCCUCCAUUUCUUCCCCUUCUAUUUGCCAGGAGGUAAUGGGCCCAGUGGCCAUGAUCUUCGUUUUUUUAGCAUGGACAUUUCUGAGCUAGCUGGCCCAAUGGUCUGACUCAGCUUCCUAUGAAUGCUAUAAGGCAGCUUACCAUUGACAGACAAAGAAAAAAGAUGGGGCAAAGGAGAGCAAUUUGGCAGGAAAGGGGAGGUAGGUGGGGAAAUUUUUAAUUUAUCUUAAAAACCAUUGUAAACAGUUAAAAUUGUUAGUAGGAUUUGAAUAACACUUGUAGUUUAAUGGUGAAUUUUGGAUAUAAUGGAGAUGUAAAAGAUAUGGAUUAUUAUAAAAGAUGCAGGAGGAAAUGAUUAACAAUAGGACCCACAAAGGGGAGAAGGGAAGUCCAGGAGGUUCUUUGGAAUCUUGUUUUUAUGUUGUAUGUUGGCUAUGUGAUUGUAAAAUUCAAAUUUGGAAAACCAAAUAAAUAAAUUUAUUGGGAAAGGAGAGGUGGAGCUCUUGGUGAAAGAAUAGCUUGUUUCUCAAUGAACACUAGUUCACAAUACUUGUUGGGUUGUGUCCUUCUCUUUCAUAAGAACACAGCGACACCUCCCAGCAAUACCUCACAUGUAAGGAAGAGAGGAUGUUCCCCAUCUUGUUCCUUGACCAUUCCAUGGCUUUGCAUUCCAUUCUGGUCCAAACUGGAGAAACUUGCAGGCUUCACAUAGGGUCACUGUGAGAAGAGGAUGCUGAGCUAGAUGAAGCCCUGAGCUUGAUCCAACAGGGCUCUUCUCACUGUCCUGAUGUAAGAAGUAAUUCUAAAAUCAGAGCAAGUACAGGUUGCUAUGGACUUUGGUCCAUCUUCAUCUCUCUCAUGUCCUUCACCUUAGAUGCACAUGUAAACAUUGACUGAUGUGAUCAUAUAGAUGAUUGCCUCAUGAUUAUUUUCAUGCAGUUUUUUAUUGACGGGCACACCUGCUCCUGCACAUUAGUAAAACAACACAACAAUGAAUCAUGAUACAGAGUAUCUCUAUCUAUCUAUCUAUCUCUAUCUCUAUCUCUAUCUCUAUCUCUAUCUCUAUCAUCUCUAUCUAUCUCUACUAUCAUCAUCUCUCUAUGCAAACACCAGCAUGACAUUUGAUUAUUAUUUUUUGUAUGUUGUUUUAGCACUGCAUACAACAAUACAAGCACUGCUGUAAAACACUACUGAAAAAGAAUUUUGGUCCAGUUUUGCCUGCAAUCAAAUCAAGAUGGUUUGCUCCCCCCCCCCCCGAGCGGGGGGAAAUAUACACACCAAAAAAUGGUUCUCUUCUAUAGUUUCCCAGUUUUAUUCCUCUGUCUGCAAAGUGAAAUCAAAAGGAGGUAAGCUAGUAAUACAGAGGGCAGAAAAGUUAUGAAAUAAAUGAAAGAAUGGAAAGCAGCAGCAGACUUCACAUGCACAGUGAUUUGUAAAAGAUGAAGAAGUACAAAGGCGCAUUCUUCAUGCAUCAUCAAUUCCACUUCAGAAACAAGAUCAUUUUUUUUGGGGGGGGGAUUCCAAAACCUGGAGAGAUAUUCCAAUGAAUAGAAUUUCAGGAGCUAAUUUGGACCAUCCUUUUGCUUCAAUGCUCUAACUAAAUCUGCAGCAAAUCGCCAUCAACACAUCUCCAUUUACAGUUUUAAUAGAGGGCUUAUCUACAUUUACUUUUCCUCCAGAUUUUUCAGGCACAGUCCAUGCUUUAAUGUGUGUCUGAGUGCCCCCACUUCUUCUUCUUUUUGCUCUGAAGCUUUUCCCUCAAACACCCACUCUUUAAAUUGAAUUGAGGCAAACAGCAAUCUUCAGGAAAAUUAAAUUGCCAUUUGCUCUGAUUCAGCUUUAAAGAGCAGGUUUUCACAGUGAUACUCCAGAGCAAAGAAACACCAGUGUGCUUGAACACAGAACUUUAAACCACAGGCCUAUGCCUGGAAAAAGUGGGGUAAGAGAUAAGUGUGGAUGAGCCCAGAAAAACAAAUAACAGAGUGGCUAUUGCAUUUCCUGUAUUAACAAAGUACCUUGCUAUUCAUUCUCUCCUACAUUUUCAGUAUUUCAAUGCAAGAAAUAAAUAACAGCAAAGACUCAGCUCAGAGAAGGUACAAAAGCUGGUCUCUUUAAAACAACUGAGAGGAACAGAUUAAUUUAUUUUUUACCUUGCUGAGAGAUGAGUACUGUUUUCUCCUGCCUGUCCUCCUUUUACCUCUUUGAAUGUUUUAUCAAUAAAAGCCACCCUGAGGAAACAAAGGUAAAAUUGAAUUACCUUGGAUUAAAUGGAUUAAUUUCUCAAGCAGAGUAAAGGACUGAUGGGAGGGUGGUAACGAUGAAUAUUUGUUCUCCAGGGAAUUGGAUUUAGUACUCUGCAUCACUGCAAAUACAUACAGAGUGACUCCAUUAUAAAGCCCCUUAAUGGUGAACAGUUGUCCUUUGGAAAGUUCAAGUUCCAUGUGCAUUUCUUUGGUUGAGCAGCAAGGUGGUUGCCUAGAUCAGCCUCCUCCAACCUGGUGCCUCCUAGUAGUUUUGGACUACAACUCCCAUCAACCCCAGCCAGCACGGUCAGGGAUGAUAUGACUUAUAGUCCAGCAACAUCUGGGGCACAGCGUUGAAGAAUGCGUAGGUAGAGAACCGAUGAUGAAACAUCCUGAGAUAGUUUGAAGGUUGCAUAUUUGGUACGUGUUAAAACAGGAUGGGUUUUAUUGUGGGUGGCUGGUUUUCUUAUGUGAAAAUGUUGCAGUGUUCUACCAUGUUGAACCUUAUGGUUGUGAAUAAGUCCAAAUAGAAGCUGCCCCCCAAUAUAGGCCAUGGCCCACACCCCUCAAAUUAGGUGUGCUGGUCCCGGGGGCUAACCAAGAGGCAAGGUCCGAGUCCAGUCCGAGGUCGAUGGUGCGGUAUGGAGGCUAUCCGUCAAAGCUGUAGCUGGGUCCAAGGCGGGGGGUCGGGUGGGGUCAGGAACUCUGGCAGAAGAGCAGGACAAGGUGCAGGCAGGAAUAGGCUAGCAACAACGUUGCUCCCGCAACCUGGGACUGGGGUUGACUGGCUUUUAUCUGCCCUGGGGCAUAGGGCGGCCCCGGUCCACAGGUUACUCGCCUCUCCUGGCCUGGAGGCGAGCACUCCUCCUGCAGGAACUUAGUUCCCUCCGCCUCUCUGCCCUGAGCCUCUGCAGCUCAGGAGAGGCUGGAGGGUUACCGGACCCAUAGGAAACCUCCUCUUCCCCUGACGGGGCUGAGAGUGGAGCACCUGCAGGCAAUGGGUCCUCCAUCACCUCAGGGGCCAGAGCAGACUCAGCUGGUGUCUGCACCUGAGGAUCCAGCACAGGUGAGGACACUUCAGGCUCAGGCCCCAGCCCCGGCUCAGCUGGUUCUGGAGGCAGGGAAUCCUGUGCAGGCUGGGAUUCCUCACAUUAAGCCUCUGAGUCCGAAUCCCAGGCCAUCACACCAGGUCUAUUUGAAAGGUGGGUGUAAUACCAUAGCUCUACCAUGCAUGACUUCUAAACUUAUCUCAUCUCAUUGCAACUAGGGCCACCACUGAGAAGGGCAGAUGAUCUUUUCACAAAAUCUGCCCAAGCAUAUUGAAGUUCCACAUGGUUCCAGAGGUCUCCCAAGUUCAGGUUUUGUACAAGCCAGCUCUUUGUAGGGGGUGUUAUGUGGCCGAUACCGGUAUUCAGACCAAUAUGGUAUUAUUACAUUUCGGUCCAUACAUGGGUUCUUUAUGUGAGGGACACAUAGCUACUUACCUUUCUUCAAAUGUGCACUUAAAAUGUUUUCUUGCAUAAGGCUCCACAAAUAUAGGCAUGUGCAUAAAGGGUCAAUUUGGUCCAUCUCUAUCACCUCAUUUUCCAGGGGAAAUAGAUACACAAAUCAGGGCUUUGUGCACAUGGCUAAACAUGUGGAACCAUUGUAGAUGUGCAGCAUGGUGGAGGCAGACUUUAUGUAUUUAUUCAAUGGAAUCUGUACAGUGGUACCUCGGGUUAAGAACUUAAUUCGUUCUGGAGGUCCGUUCUUAACCUGAAACUCUUCUUAACCUGAGGGAGCACUUUAGCUAAUGGGGCCUCCUGCUGCCGCCUCACGAUUUCUGAUCUCAUCCUGAAGCAAAGUUCUUAACCCGAGGUACUAUUUCUGGGUUAGCAGAGUCUGUAACCUGAAGCAUCUGUAACUGAGGUACCGCUGUAUACCACUUAUAUGUAAAAAACCCCAAAAAAACCCCACUUGGAGGUUUUCGUGUGAUAUGCUUUAAAACCAGUGAUACAAGUCGGAGUUACAAAUAAAGUCACCAGGUUGGAGAAGGGUGGGUAAAAUCCUCAGCUCUUGUGACACUGCCACUCAGAAUUCAAAAUUUCUGCAAAUUGUGGGUGGUCCCAAACGUUGAUCUGUUGCUACCAGACACCAAGUAGUGGCUGGGCCUGUCUUCUCUCCUGGUGAGGGCCUGAUCGGUAACUCAUAAAACCACAAUUAGAUCCCUUUUGAAUCAAACCAAAGGCCAAUGCUUUAACAAGGGGUGGGUGGGUAAACUAAACUUAGCAUCCAUGUUUCAGUGUGUGCUAGUAUUCUAUUUCCAACAUUGUACAAUGUACAUGCCACUGUCAGUUGGCAUUUGGAAACAUAUGGCUGCAACACCAUGCACUAUGCUACAAGUUUCUUAUCUAGUGUUGUGUGACAAAUAAUUCUGAACAGCUUGUCAACGAUGAGAAGUUGAAGCUUUUUUUUGGGGGGGGUUGCUUUUUUUUUGCUUAGAUGCCUUGACAGUGCUUGUAUUAAACAGCCAAAGCCCUACACUCCAUUAAGUUUUUGUAAAAUGAACUGCCUGUAACUUGUGGUUUCCCUGAUAGUGGCAGCAGUGGCGGCAGUUGCAGGCUAAUCCUCCGCAGUUGGUUGGUUUGGUUUAGUGAGAGCCUUCAGUCGUACGACAGGUAGCAGAUCUUUCUCAACAGCUAGCGCUGGGACUUCAGGGCUAAAAAUUAACUGAGAUAAGCAAGAAGUAAUUUUCCUAGAACAGGGUUGUUUUUUCAGAACAGCAGUGAACUCUAAACUGGAUUAUUAAAUAGAAAGGCCGCAGUGGGCUUAGUUUGGGUAAUAGAUCUUCCCCAGUGGAGCAUAAUCCAUCAGAUUAUACCAACAGCAAACUCAUCCACUGACUGAGGUUCCUCAUGUAGCCAAAAGAGCACCAUCAAUGCUCAAGAGAUAGGAAUCAGCAGGCCUGAAGGAACUCCAAGUUUGGCAGAAGCACCUGGAGGGUGCAGUGUGGUGGGGAAAAAUACAGAAUCGCCCUCCUGACAUCAGCAUCAGAACGGGGCUGGGUCAGGACAGGGUAGCACUGAUGUAGCAGCAGCACAGAUUUAUCAGUGGAGCCGAUGCAGUACAGCUGCCCAUCUAUCUACACAAGCCUGACCUUGCCAUCAGCUCACCCUGCCCCAUCCCCAUCAGUGGAAACAUUAGGGGCGGCCAACAUUGGCUGAUUGCCGAAGAAUUGAUGCUGUUGAAUUAUGGUGCUGGAGGAGACUCUUGAGAGUCCCAUGGACUGCAAUAAGAUCAAACCUCUCCAUUCUGAAGGAAAUCAGCCCUGAGUGCUCACUGGAAGGACAGAUCGUGAAGCUGAGGCUCCAAGACUUUGGCCACCUCGUGAGAAGAGAAGACUCCCUGGAAAAGACCCUGAUGUUGGGAAAGAUUGAGGACACGAGGAGAAGGGGAUGACAGAGGACGAGGUGGUCGGACAGUUUUCUCGAACAUGAGUUUGACCAAACUGUGGUAGGCAGUGGAAAACAGGAGUGCCUGGCAUGCUCUGAUCCAUGGGGUCACGAAGAGUCAGACACGACUAAAUGACUAAACAACAACAACAUUGGCUUCCAAGUUCAUUUCUGGGCCAAAUUCAAGGUGCUCACAUUAAAGCCCUAAAUGACUUGAGCCCCAAAUAUCUGAAAGAUUGCCUCCUUAACUACAGACCAUCCCAGGACCACCAGAGUCAGCCCUCUAGGUAGUUCCACCUCACUACGAAUUUUGAGAGCCCAGCAGAGAGCAUUCUCUGAGGCAGAACCCAAGUUGUGGAAUCCCCUCCCUGCAGAGGUGUGUUUGGCUUCUUAACUCUGCAGCUUUUGGCAAAUGCUGAAGAAAUAGCUCUUUAUCCUGGCCUUUGACACCUGAGAUGUGUUUUUUCAGAGUCCACUCUAUUCCUGUUUUAAUUGUAUUUAAAUUGGAAUUUUAAAUUGUUGUAAUCUGCCCUAGGAUCUGAGUUCUGGUGGGUUCUGGCUGGAAAAAAAAACUCUGGACAUAACUUGUAAGGAAACUGCAGCAAUUUAGGUAUAAUAUGCAGCGGGAUAAGGGGAAACAAGGAAACCCUGGAGGGGUGGAUGGGAAGUUUACAUUGGUUAAAAAUAUUGGGGGGAACCAUAUAUGUAAUUAACUUUUGAAAAUCAAAAUAAAAUUGUAAAAAAAAAGAAAACUGUAGCAAUUUACUUGAGUGUAGUUUGUUCUACAAAUGGUGCAUUAUAAAUGUGGAAUGAGAGUAACCUGUCAUGGAUUUCCCCAUGGUUUUCCCCAGGCCUACAGCUCCCUUCAUCCCUGACUACCCAUUCUUCCUGGGGCUGAUGGGAGUUGGAGUCCAACAACAGCUGGGGAAAAGUUGACUACAGCUGAACAUCCUCAUAGUCUACUUUGUGUCCAUCUUCUACUUUUCUUCUCCGCAGAGAAUUCUGACAAGACAUUCAUAGCCUAGGAAAUACGAAAUAACAAUAACAUGGAGAGUAUAUUUUACUCAUUGGUAUGUUUAUUAUACCAUAUUUUACAAACUUCAAAGAGUUUCUUCCUUCAGGAUGUCAGGUCUUCUGUUGCUGCCCAGUUUCCAUGGAAACAUGGAAGUGGUAGCUGUGCCCACAGCUGAAGCAGAACUUUGUUUUCUAAAAAUAUUCUAGGCAAAUCUGUAGAUUCUGUUUAAAAUAUUAAGUACUGAACAUUAAAUUCCUAGCAUUUUUUUUAAACGCAAAAAAUCUCUGAGCUGAGAUGUAAAGACUGUUAGUCUGUUGCAACAACAACAAGAAGAAAUCUGCUAGCAGUUCAAAGACCUACAAAUUAAUUACACUUUCCCUCCCUAGAGAUGUAUAUUUCAUUUCUUUUGUCUCCAAAGUAGGUGGCCGAGGCUGUGCUUUCCUACAAGAGGCCAAGAUGGUCACCACCUCGGGUGACUUUAAAAGAGGAUUAGACAUAUUAUUGAAAGAGAGGGCUAUCAUAAGCUACUAACCAGAAUGGCUACAUUCUACUUCCACUGUUGGAAGGUUCUCAGUGCUAGUUGCUGGGAAUCGCAGGUGGGCAGAGUGCUGUUGUGCUCAGGUCCUGCUUGCUGGCUUCCCAUAGGCAUCUGGUUGACCACUGUGAGAACAGGAUGCCUUACUAAAUGGACCACUGGACUGAUCCAUCAGGACAUUCUUAUGUGUUUCACUUGGUUGUUGUUGUUGCAAGGUGGAGUUCAUUUGGAUUCAUUUUAGUAAAUGCUGCACUUAAUGAACAAGGCUGUUUUACAUGGAUUUUGCCUUUUGGUCCAUCUAGCAGAAUUGAUGCUUUUGAAUUAUGGUGCUGGAGGAGACUCUUGUGAGUCCCAUGGACUGCAAGAAGAUCAAACCUAUCCAUUCUUAAGGAAAUCAGCCCUGAGUGCUCACUGCAAGGGCAGAUCCUGAAGCUGAAGCUCCAAUACUUUGGCCACCUCAUGAGAAGACCCUGAUGUUGGGAAAGAUGGAGGGCACAAGGAGAAGGGGACGACAGAGGUUGGAGAAGGGGACGAGAUGGUUGGACAGUGUUCUCGAAGCUACCAGCAUGAGUCUGACCAAACUGCGGGAGGCAGUGGAAGACAGGAGUGCCUGGCGUGCUCUGGUCCAUGGGGUCAUGAAGAGUUGGACAUGACUAAACGACUAAACAACAACAACAACAAGCAUCACUGCAGUGACUGGGAGAGGGUCUCUUGGUUUUCAGACAUAGGGCAUUCCUAGUCCUACUUGGAGAUGCCCGAGAUUGAACCCAGGAAUUCUGCAUGCAAGACACAGUUUCUCUACCACUGAGCUACGAACCUUCCUGUGACUUUCUACUAUCUACUAGGCUUGUAGAAAGAUAGCAUUAAAAAUGAAGACGAGCCCACUACCCUGUGAAGUAGAGAAGGCAUGUGCAAGAGUGACCUGAGAAUUGGGCUCUUGCGGAUCCUAAAUUACUUAGGUGCUCUUGAUAUUUUUACAUGAAGUCUCAUAAAUUAACUCAUUAAUCAAGCAUUAAUGGCCUAGUCAAGGCAGAUGUUGAAUCCAGCUGCUAAACAUGGUUUUAAUGGGCUUUCUCUCACUUUUUUUACAGAGCCAAUUAAUUCCAGUAUGAUGUUAUACUCUUAAGGGGGGAGAAAUGUAUAGUGUUUGUCAGCCAGGGAAGACAACAGAAGCAAUUUCUGAACAAGUAUUAUUUAAUGACUUAAGGUUAGUUAGAUUGCCCAUUAAUUCUCGCAUUAUUCUCAGAGAACAGGAACGUAAGUCCUUGGAGCCGGCCUACCAGGCAACCCUCAUGCAUAAGCGUGGUUUGUGUAUGAGAUCAUCACAAUUUUGUUACCAACUUACUCUAUGGAAUUCACACUCAUUCCUAAGCAUUCACUGUAAGCUGUUCAACAUAUUCCCAAGUAGUCAUGAGGCUUACUGCCUUGAGCAUGCAAUGUAACAGUUCAUACUGAAAUGCAGUUGUUGACAGCAUGGCGGGGUGGUGGUACUCACCUGAUCUCCUGACAGCAGAGUCACAGCUGCUUACUGGAAGAUAGAGGGGAGAGGUGUUGGGGAGAUUGGCAUGGUGCAAACACACCAGCAGGAACACUGAAUUGGCUCCGCUGGUGUGUUUGAGCCACAUCAACCUCACCACUGCCUCACCCCUUCUCCUCUCUCUCCUGAUUAGCAGAAGCAGCAACUCAGAUGUUGGGAGGUCAGGGAAGUGCGGAUGCCCCACUAUGUUGUUCGCUGAAGCUGAAAUGCCUUUACUUUCCCUCAGGCUUCUUACAUAUGCUUUGUCUGCUCUGAAGAACUCUGUCCAGAAAUUAAUAGGCCUUAUAAGGACUAGAGAACAUGGUGAAGAACUUAUGGUGAGUAAAUGGCUUUCAGUAACUUUGUAAUUCCAAAUAUUCCACAAAGGCAUAUAACAUUUGGGUCAAAUAACACGGUGCAGAGAGCUCACUUUAAAGCAAACAUUGUUUCAUAGCUUAGUUGAUCGCUCCACUGUUGGGAUUCUGUUACUUGAUGAACCAGUGUUGUUGUUGUUGCUGCUGUUUUUAAAAACUAAACCAAUGGUUUUAUUUGCAAGUUUUGUUAAAAAUAAUAAAAGGUAAAGGUAAAGGGACCCCUGACCAUUAGGUCCAGUCAUGACCGACUCGGGUUGCAGCGCUCAUCUCGAUUAUUGGCCGAGGGAGCCGGCGUACAGCUUCCGGUCAUGUGGCCAGCAUGACUAAGCCGCUUCUGGCAAACCAGAGCAGCACACGGAAACGCCGUUUACCUUCCCACCGGUGCGGUACCUAUUUAUCUACUCGCACUUUGACAUGCUUUUGAACUGCUAGAUUGGCAGGAGCAGCGACCGAACAACGGGAGCUCACCCUGUCACAGGGAUUCGAACCACCAACCUUCUGAUCAGCAAGUCCUAGGCUCUGUGGGUUAACCCACAGUGCCACCCGCGUCCCUUGUUAAAAAUAAUAAUUACCAGCAAAAUGCUUGUUUCCUCCUCCCUUCUGGCGUAGCUAAAUAUGCAAUAUGGUGCCCACAUCCACAUUUUUGUUUGUGUGCUGUGAAGUGUUAGGGAGAAUUACAGCUCAGUGGUAAGGGACAUGCUUUGAAUGUAAAAGUCCCAAGUUCAAUGCCUGGCAUCUCCAGAUAGGGCUAGGGGAAAAAAAAAAAACCAUAAGCCUGAAACCCUGGAGAACUUGCUGCCAAUCCUGAUUUGUUUGCAAGGUUUUUAUACACCAUCCAGUUAAUCCCACAUUUUUUCCAGUGCAUUUCCCUAGCACUUUGCUAACCACAAAAGGUCUGGUUUGGUUGUUGCGGUUGUUUUAAAAAAGUGGUGUGUUGCGCUACGGCAGUGGUUCCCAAAGGGUGUGGCAUACCACACUGAUGUGGCAGGAGAGGAUGGCAAGUGUGGCGGGAAUAAUCAAGACCAAUCAAUAUGAUAUUUUGGGAAUCAUUCAUGUCUUUAUAUACCUGCAUUGUUUAAUACUUUCUGGAUGUCCCAUGAUCAUGUUAUAAAUGUAGUUGUGUUCUGUUAGCAGUUUGUUUUUGUAUUUCUCGUCCAUAAAAAAGUUCAGUGUGGCGUGCACAAAUUUUUAUUCUGAAAGUGUGACCCAGAGAAAAAAGUUUGAGAACCUCCGUGCUAGGGUAACUAAGCCCUUUGAUUCACAUUGUUAUUAUUUAACCACCCUUCACCCACAAAGUCCCGAGGUGUGUUGUACCGAUUUAAAAUGCAGUGUUAAAACAGCUAAAGCGAAUUACAAUCACAAGGAUAUGUUGAGUCUUAAAAAUAUACAUCUCCACUGCCAAAGGCCAGGGUAAAGAGGUACAUCUUUAGCAUAUGACAAGAAUUGCAUAGUUACUGUCAGGGCUGCCUCAAGUCUCAGCUCACAAAAGACCAACGCCAAUGUCUUCUUAUAUACAAAAGUGUUUAUUGCAGUUCAUUGUUUGCUCGACAUCCUAGGCGCGCAGCCCUACGUCUGCUACGCUUAGACCGCUGAAGUCCCCUCUGAAUCCGUCCCUCCCCUACACCAGUUUAAGAUGCUUGUGCUGCUCCACCUCUUUCUCUCUUUCCUUUUCCGCAGGGUCCUUCUGCCCGCUGGGGUUUCGCCCCUCCUGGAUUCCUCUGACGCGGAAUCAGACUGCUCUUGCCCCUGCUGCGGGCUUUAGGACCUGGCCCCUCCUCCGGGCUCCCUGUACUUCCGCGCGCCUCUACAUUUGAACGUGGCGCGCGCGCCCAGCCUCUAACCUUCCUUUCAACAGCUACACUACUCCCUUCACUGCUCCCCUCCCCUUCCGGGAGGAUGGCUUGCUCCGACCUCCCUCCUUUCUCUGCUGCCGGAGCCUCUUCCCCUGAGGAAGCACUCUGGCGGGGAGGCUGGUCCUGACACCCAGCUGCCGCUUUGGGAUGCCCAGCUGGCCCCCUGCUCCUGACACGUCCCCCCUGGGGCUCCCCUGGGCUUGACCACCGGCGCCCCCUUCUGGGAAUCCUCUGAUUCGCUGGAAAGACUCAUGGAAUCUCUUGAGUCAUUGUCUUCCUCUUCCUCGCUGUCCUGGGAUUCAUCCCCAUCGCUCUCCAUCUCCUGCCUACCCUGUGCCUCUGCCCCUGAACCCCUGACAGUUACAUACCCUCCAACAUUUAUCCAAUGAAAAUAGGGGUGUUAAUAAUAAUAAUAAUAAUGAUACCCCACCCAUCUUCCAACAUAUAUAAAAACAUAAUAAAACAUUAAACUUUUUUUUAAAAAAAAAAUGUAUUCAGGUGUCUUCAGAAGGUUGUAUAGUUACUUAUCUCUUUGGGUUGCACAACUCCAUAUCCUUUGAUGGAAAUAGGGACGUCCUUCCAUACCCUCCAACAUUUCUCCAAUGAAAAUAGGGACGUCCUUGGGGAGACUGAAGGUACAUUCUUUCACCUUUGUUGGACAUGCCCAAAGAUUAAGGCAUUCUGGGAGAUGAUUUAUAAUGAAAUGAAAAAGGUAUUUAAAUAUACCUUUCUGAAGAAACCAGAGGCCUUUCUCCUGGGUAUGGUCGGCCAAUUGGUGCCAAAGAAGGAUAGAACUUUUUUCAUGUAUGCCACAACAGCAGCAAGAAUACUCAUCGCAAAGCACUGGAAGACACAAGAUCUACCCACUAGGGAAGAAUGGCAGAUGAAGCUGAUGGACUACAUGGAACUGGCGGAAAUGACUGGCAGAAUUCGAGACCAGGGAGAAGAGUUGGUGGAAGAGGAUUGGAAAAAAUUUAAAGUAUAUCUACAAAAAUAUAGCAAAAUUAGUGAAUGUUAGAAGGAUGUUGCAAUGAAGUUACAUGGUUUUAGCAGAAAUGUUAUUAAGAACUAUGUAAAAAUGGGCUGUUAAUGGGUCAAAGGGUAAAAUUUAAGGUCAGAUCGGGUUAAGGUAAUUUAUAGAACAAAAAUUGAGAAAGAGGGAAAGGAUUUCUUGAAACAGCUAAAUUGAAUUAGAAUACAAAAAAGGGAGGUGCGAGGAGGUCGAUGAAACAAGUAAAUGAAAGAUAAGGAUAUGGAAAUACUGGAUGUGUUUUCUUAAAUGUUUUUGUUUUUAAAUGUUUUUGUUUUUUUCCCCUAAUUGUUGUGCUGUAUUGUUUUUUUUUUGUUUUUUAUAGUUUUUUGAUGUAUUGUAUUGUAACUUUUUAAUCUCUCUUUUUUUUCUUUUUUUUCUGUAAUUGUUAAACUUUUAAUAAAUAUCAUUUAUAAAAAAAAAAUGAAAAUAGGGACGUCCUAAGGAAAAGCGGGAUCAAAUCAGAAACUGGGGCGACUUCUGUAAAUUCUGGACUAUCCCUGGAAAGUAGGGACACUUGAAAGGUCCGUAGCUAUUCUGCCAGAUGCUCCUCUCCUGCGCUACCACUGUCUAACCUUCUGAGGGUGCUAUGAUUACAAGGAGAGUCCCCUAUACUGGUAUUAAUACCUAAGUUCUGUAGUGAGAAAGGUGGUCUUUCAGAUAUUGGAGGCCUACAUUGUUUUACUGUGCAAACCUCCGGCAUGAGCUUUGAUCCAUCCUGCAGAAUAGUGAGCGCCGAAGGCAACCAUAGUAAACAGAUGACAGCAACAGAUAGCAAGCAGAGAAAGCUGAACGGGAUUGUGGCCUUUCACUUAUGCAAGCUGGACAAUUUUGUGAGGAUAGAACUCAUUCAGGAGCCUGUGGGACUUUGGGCGGACAGAGCAACUUAAUUAGGUAUUCAUAUUAAGGCAACAAUGGAUGAAAAUAAAAUGGAAAGAAUUACACUUUUCUCCCUAUGGAGCAGUCUAGUAAAACCGUUGAAUUGUAUAGGUCUUUGAUUAGCCUUAAUGGCCCAUUACUGGCUCGGGAAGGGAGGCAUAAUCGCAAAUACACUGAACUGAACAGGUCUGAUCAAAGGGCAAGAACACAGCAAAAGAUUGUUAAAUGAAUCUGCAUUUACAUUUCUGAUGCGGAAGAUCAAAGGCAAAGGCAAAGAUUACGGGAACCUGUCAGGCUUGCAGGCUUUCGGGCUGAAAUAAGCCAAACAGAGCAGGCCAAAAGCUCCGCUACAGCUCCACAGAGCUGAGCUGCAGACAUUAAUAGCAGCCUAAUUAUAAGUCCAUUUUCACCACAUGGGCAUAUUCAAACGAAAUGUGCUUGCUGUAUGAAAUGGGCUUGGACCAAGUUGCCUGACGGUGGUUCUUUCCUUUGGCUUCUGAUGUGAGAAUCAGGCCUGUUGUGCAUUGCAGAGGGCAUGGAGCAGAAGAUUCUUGGGGUCCCGUCCAACCCUACAGUUCUAAGUGAGAGGAAUAGCAUGUGAAUGGCUUGUGGGUGUCAGUGUGUCACUGUGGCUUUUGCCCUCCUAGGUGUGUGACAUCAUACUGGGCUCAUAAGGAAAGGGUUAACUAAUUGUAAAAUGACUAACCUAUAGGAACCCAAGGGGAGAAGUAAGAGUUAGAGUUAGAGUUGUUAAGAAGUCAGUCUGGAGUUAGAGAAGAGAGAGGAAGGAUAAGUCUGUGGGUUGGGCUAGUCUGAUGUGAGAGAGUGAGAGAAUCUGUUAAGAGGAGUCAGUCAAACAGUUGAGAUAAUCAGUCAGAAGGUAUUAGGAAGGUAUAGGCCGGUAAAGAAACUAAGGUUAAGAAACUGACAAGAAAAUUAUCUGAGAAACCAUUAACUUGUUAAUGCUUAUAAAAUAAACUUGUUUAUUUGGUUUAAUUUUAACAACUGUCUGGACUCAGUGUGUACCCGAGAGUAACGGGUUGGUGGCAGCGGGGAAGCAAGCACAGUGGUGGCACAGGGAUCAACAGACCGCCAAACGUCCGGGGACCACAACCCAUGAGGGAUUGUUUUAUCUUCCUAUUCACUUGCUAUUUUCACUAGCCUAACCACUCCUCACUCAACAUACUCACAUUUCCCCCUCUUUUGCUCUCAGGAUUGGAGAAGGACAGGGGUGGAGCAAGGGGGUGCAGUAGGGGCGGGUAGCCCCGGGUGUCACCACUGGGGGGUGACAAAAUGCCAGGGGGCACUCACCCCAGGGCCUGCAGCACGCUCAAGCCACGCGCCUCUCCUGGGAGUGACGCGGUGGCUUGGGCACAUACAGUCUCCACGCUGCCCCAAACAGUCUGCCCCCUGCCUCCCCCUCAGCUGUAAGGCGGCUGAGUGGAAGGAGGCAGGCAGACUCCUUAGAGGCCCUGUGGAACAUUCUGCGCUGGCUCGCUCCACCCCACCCCCGGACUGGUGCUCGAUCAGCUUGCUGUGCCACUGGAGAAGGGAACUCCAGUGGGAAAUUGGAGAGGGGUGUCACUACUGAAGAAACCCUGUCCCAUGUGCCCACAAGUUUAAUAAUGGACCCAUAAGCAGGGCCUCUGAAGCUGAUCACAAGGUCUGGGAACUUUGUAUUGGUGCGAGUCAACUUUCAAGUACAGUGGUACCUCAGGUUACAUACGCUUCAGGUUACAGUCUCCGCUAACCCAGAAAUAGUGCUUCAGGUUAAGAACUUUGCUUCAGGAUGAGAACAGAAAUCGUGCUCCGGCGGCACGGCGGCAGCAGGAGGCCCCAUUGGCUAAAGUGGUGCUUCAGGUUAAGAACAGUUUCAGGUUAAGAACGGACCUCCAGAACGAAUUAAGUAUUUAACCCGAGGUACCACUGUAACUGGCGUGCUCUGGUCCAUGGGGUCACAAAGAGUCGGACACGACUAAACGACUAAACAGCAACAACAACCACUGUAACUUGGUCCCAAGUCAUCAAGGGCUUUAAAAGUCAUAACCAAUAGUUUCAAUCGUGCAUGGGAAUGAACUGGCAACCAGUGUGACUGAUACAAUAUUGGAGCAACGUGCUCUGAGUGCCUCUCCGCAACUUCCGCAUGAGCAGCCGCAUUUUUCAAGAGCUGAAGGUUCCAAACCAUCUUCAAAGGCAUUCUCGCCCAGAACACAUUGCCAUAGUCUCUUUAGGUUGUCACUAGCGCCUGGGUAGCUGUUCAAAGAUCCAGUGCAGCAAGACUGGGCCACAGCUGUGUGCUGGUGGAAGCUUUUAAAAGGCACUGCAGCUGCAUUUUAGCAGCUGCAUCAUGCUUAAUUGAAAUCUACAGCCCUUUCCCUGGCAGUGUAAUGAUGACUUUAGGGGUUGCCCACCUAGUUGGUUUCAAGCCGUUCUACUUUUGAAGCAGUAGGGGAAAAAAGGAGAGGUGAUCAUUCAAUGCUAAGAGGAUUUUGUUGAGUAGAAAAAAAGACUGUUAAUGCACAUGUUGCUUUCAAAGAAAAAAGAAAAGAAGGAGUCGAUGUCAAAGUGAGGCUAGAUCAUUUACUGCAAGAUUAAAGUGGUUACCAUAGGACCUGCUCCUAUUAUAUGUCAGGGUUCAGGCAUACUCGCCUUUAUCGCUUCUGACUACACUCCUCACAAUAAGACGUGGGAGGUCAGAGUGUGUUUGCCAUCCUUUGAAUCAGAAUGUUUCAUUACUCUGGCCCAUUCUGUGCCAAAGUGUGGAAAUGGAUUUACCUUAAUGCUAAGCACGCCAGGGGUGCAAUUCAUCUUUCAGCCGAUGUCAGCAGCAAGAACCCUGUCGGUCCGAGAGCUGGCUCUCAUGUUCGACUCUUAAUGUAUAGGUCGCUGGUUCAAGUAGCUACUAUAGAGGUGCGCUGCUCAAGCUGCAGACUUCCUCUUCAGAGUUCUGCUGCCCACUCACCACCAUCAUGGCAACCUCUUCUUUGCUUCAUAGAUGGAACAAGAAUGUUGCGAUUUCCUUGACUGCUUGCUUUCCUUGCUCUUUCUAGCUUCAGACACCCUUGCCUGUACAGUGGUACCUCAGGUUACAUACGCUUCAGGUUACAGACUCCACUAACCCAGAAAUAGUGCUUCAGGUUAAGAAAUUUGGUUCAGGAUGAGAACAGAAAUUGUGCUCCGGCGGCACUGCAGCAGCAGGAGACCCCAUUAGCUAAAGUGGUGCUUCAGGUUAAGAACAGUUUCAGGUUAAGAGCGGACCUCUGGAACAAAUUAAGUUCUUAACCCAGGGGAACCACUGUAGUUGCAAAAUGUGUGAGGGAGAGCAGGAACAAGCAGCUGGUACCUUAGCCAUCAUUCUCUUUAAAAACAAAACAUAUUAUCUUAAAACAUAUCAUCCUUAAUUCCCCACCAUUUCCCCCUCCCCCUCCCAUAAAACAACCCCCCUUCCCCUCCCCCCUGACUUCCCUCAGUUCCAAUAUCUGGUUUCUCUAUACAGUGUUACCUCGGGUUACAGAUGCUUCAGGUUACAGACGCUUCAGGUUACAGACUCCGCUAACCCAGAAAUAGUACCUUGAGUUAAGAACUUUGCUUCAGGAUGAGAACAGAAAUCGUGCUCCGGCGGCGCGGUGGCAGCAGGAGGCCCCAUUAGCUAAAGUGGUGCUUCAGGUUAAGAACAGUUUCAGGUUAAGAAGAGACCUCUGGAACGAAUUAAGUACUUAACCCGAGGUACCACUGUAAAUGCUAUUCUCUGCAUUUUACAAAAUUGUAUAAAUCCUUAAUUUAGCUAACUGGUUAUUAUCAAUAAAAAGUUUGUGAGUGUUUAUUCAAAGCCUGCCAAGGAGUCCAGUUCACUUGGUUGCAUCUUUAAAUACUUUGUAAAGGGUUCCCAUUCAUCUUUAAACUACUUGUCCUGUAGUUUAUGUGUCAAUUUUGCCAAUUCUGUAUAGUCCAUCAGUUUCUCCUGCCAUAGUUCUUUAGUCAGGAUUUCCUCACUCUUCCAUCUUCGCUGUCAUUCUCAACAGUUGUUGUUGUUGUUCAUGGAAUCAGAGAAUUGUAGAGUGGAAGGAAGCCAAGGGCCAUCUAGUCCAACCCCUGCAAUGCUUGACAGAUGGCCAGCCAACUUCUGCUUAAAAACCUCCAAGGAAGGAAGGAAAGUCCACAAUCUCCCGAGGGAGUCCGCUCCACUGUCAAGCAGUUCAUACUGCCAGAAAGUUUGUCUGUGUGUUUAGUCGGAAUCUCCUUUCUUGUAAGUUGAAGCCAUUGGUUCGAGUCCUACCUUCCAGAGCAGGAGAAAACAAGCUUGUUCCCUCUUCCAUGUGACCGCCUUUAAUAUAUUUGAAGAUGUUGUUGUUGUUGUUGCUGCUGCUAUAAUUUAUAUCCCACAUUGUCCCUAGAAUGGGACUCAAGGCAGCUUGUGCAAAUGGAAGUAAACCAGAUAAAAUACAAAAAGCUAAAAGCAUGUAAAAAGUAAUAGCUAAAAAGUAAUUAAUAGAAUUAAAACCAUAGGAAUUGAACAAUAUAAUAGAAUUAAAAUGAUAUAAAUAUAAAUCUAUUAAAAUACAGACAGUAAAACAGCAGAGUGAUAUUAAAAACCCUUUUCUUGAAAAACAGUCAGUUCCCAAAGACCUGUCUGAAUACAGCAGUCUUCACCUGCCAGCAAAAGGACAACAAAGAAGGAGUCAGUUGAGCUUCUCUAGGGAGGGAGUUCUAAAGUGCAGGAGCCAGCCACUGAGAAGGCCCUCUCCGGCAUAUCCAUCAAGCAUUCCUGUGAGGGUGGCAGGACUGAGAGAAGGAUCUCUCCCAAAGCUCGGGGAGAUUUGUAUGGGAGAAUGCAGUACUCAGAAAUCCCCUAAAUUAAUUCAUAUUGGGAAGAGUUGGGUGGUAGGAGUUUGUGGUAAGGAGUUCAGAAUGCCAGUUCACUGUAGUCUUAUUCAGUUCAUGUUCUAUCAAAAUGUGAGAAGGGAGCAGAGCUAUGUUGAUUUGCCCCAUCAUGCACUUUCUAGCCCCCACCUCCCCCUAACCUGGGCAUAAAAAAGGUAAAGGGACCCCUGACUGUAAGGUCCAGUCGCAAACGACUCUGGGGUUGCGGUGCUCAUCUCGCUUUAUUGGCCGAGGGAGCCAGCAUACAGCUUCCAGGUCAUGUGGCCAGCAUGACUAACCAGAGCAGCAUGUUAUUGUUGUUGUUUAGUCGUUUAGUCAUGUCCGACUCUUCGUGACCCCAUGGACCAGAGCACGCCAGGCACUUCUGUCUUCCACUGUCUCCCGCAGUUUGGUCAGACUCAUGUUUGUAGCUUCCAGCAGAGCAGCAUAGGAUGUGGUUAUUUUCAGGUAUGGAGUCUCCAACCCUGGCAAUAAUGUUGGUCAUGUGAGUUGGCCCUGAGGUCACUAACAUGGGGAGAAUAUUUUAAUCAUAGGAUUGCAGAUUUGGAAGAGACCACAAGGGUCAUCUAUUCCAAACCCCUGCAAUGCAGGAAACUUCUGCCCAACUUGGGGCUCAAACCCACAACCCUGAGAUCAAGAGUGUCAUGUUCUUACCAACUGCAAAUAUCUGCAUAGGUACUUUGUAAAGCAGGGAUGGAGAACCUCAGGCCCAGGGUAUUUAUCUGGCCCUCAGAACUCUCCAUAGGCCACACCUACUCUUCACAGGCCACAUCCCUCUCUGGCCAUGUCUCAAAAAUAUUUUUUUGCCUGGCUGGAAUGUGUCAUUGAACUCUAUUCUCUCUUGCUAGUCAAGAAGGAAGGUGGAGAGGUGUGCAUGUGCCUGUAUACAGGGCCGUCUUACCCAUAGGCACUAGGGGUGUGGGGCACCCGGGUGCCAGGCUCUCAGGGGUGCCAGGCUGAGAGUCCGGGACCCAAGAGAUGAGUCUGGGCAAGAGCCCACCCAUCGGUCGGAGCACUGUGGCGGGCUCUUCUGCUGCGGGUGGCUCUGUGCUGUGAGUUCGGGGGUGACUGAGCCAGUGAGAUGCUGAGGCGGCCAGCUGGCUCCGCCCUCCUGCAUGCCUGGGACUGGCCAAGCUGGGGGUGGGCGGGCGGAUCUUUGCACCCCGGUGCCACAUAUGCUUAAGACAGCCCUGCAUGCAUAGAAACUAGUCUUCUGUACACCCAUUGCUCCAUCCAUAUCUGCCUUUGGCUGGCCCCACUGACAUGUGUCCCUCAGAAUGCUGCCCAGAUGGAAAUGUGGUCCUUAGGCUGAGGGGGGGGGGAACCCCAGUCCAUUAUAGAGUAUUUGCAUAGUUGAGGUUGUGCCAGAGAUGAGUCUAUUCAGUGGCUGUUUGUGGAUUCUCUCCUAAAUUGGUGUGGGGGGAUAUGAUUUCACAUAUUUGGCAAUCAUUGCAUUAUAAUGGUACAGAUUGUCUCAUAGCAAACACCGACCAGCUAUCAGAAGCAUAGUUUGAGGAAUAACUUUGUUCUGCCGCUGACAAGUUUCAGAUGAGGAAAGCGCACUAUUACUGUAAUGUGCCUCUCCUGAUGUGUGUCAGCAGUGAGUCAAAACAGCUUUGCAGAUUAUGUUGCUAACAUGAUGAGAGGAGUCUUGAGUCACUGUGUGACCAGCGUUUGCUUUGCCAGGAGCAGCACAAGUUGCUUUGAUGCGGGUUGCCGGUGGGAUAUGUAAAACACAUAUAGGGCACUUCAGAUUCUCUGUAAGAAGGUUUCUCUUCUUGGACAGCUGGCUUUUGCUCUGACACAGGGCAGACGCACUUAAACAGCUUUCUUGGGAGAUGGAAAUGGAGUUACAAAAAUGGCUUGUCGCAGAGAGGAGCCGCUGAGAGUGUGAAGCGCAGAAGAGAUAAAUAGGGUGAGUUGGAGGAAGAAGUAUUUUGGAUGUAAAAGCAGCAGAAGAAGGAAAGUCUUUUAAGAGGGCAGGAUAACUGCAUAACCCCUAAUGGACUGAUUUUUGCAGAGCCAGAGAAGGCUGUAUUGCCAUCUCUUGGCAGAAGCAGAGAACUGCUGGAUUUGGCUGGGAUUAGUGAUUUGCACAUGGCCCCAGGAGUCUGUUUGCUUGUUGGGAUUGCCAUAGGUAAAAAGCUAAAGGACCCCUGCACGGUUAAGUCCAGUCAAAGGCGACUAUGGGGUUGCAGUGAUCAUCUCACUUUCAGGCCGAGGGAGCCGGCGUUUGUCCACAGACAGCUUUCCAGGCCAUGUGGGCAACAUGACUAAACCACUUCUGGUACAAUGGGGCACUGUGACGGAAGCCAGAGUGCACGGAAACACCAUUUACCUUCCCGCCACAGCGGUACCUAUUUAUCUACUUGCACUGGCGUGCUUUUGAACUGCUAGGUUGGCAGGAGCUGGACAGAGCAACGGGAGUUCACCCCAUCACACAGAUUUGAACUGCUGACCUACAGAUCAGCAAGCCCAAGAGGCUCAGUGGUUUGGACCACAGCGCCACCCAUUCCUGCGAUUGCCACAGCAGUCGAAGGACAGCCUACUACAGACUGCCUGAACUGUCAAGCAACAGAAGGAAUCCUUGAUCUGGGUUCAUUUUGGUCUAAGAAAACAUGGCUGAUUGCCUAACCUCAUUCAGGCUACAAUCCUGAACUGGUGUCUGCCCAGAUUUUACUGAACUCCCAACUCAUCUUGCAGUCCCACAAUGACUUUUGAUGCUAAAAGCAGGUCCUUAGGCUUAACUCUGCUCAAAUAUAAUGCCUGAAGCCUGUUGAUUGCUGUAGGCUGCGCCAUAAAUAGAUAUAAAAAUGCAUCCACCUUGAAUCAGAACUGGAAUUAUUUCUUUAUAUGGUAGAAGAUGAACUUUAAUCAACAUUUUGUACCCUCUAAUGGUUUAAUAACCCACUGAACUUUAAAAGAAAUGCAAGUAAGUAAAAUAGUUUUGCUGGUGGACUCAUUUCCUGAAACAACUUGCAGCCUACAGCACAUUUUGAGUGGCUUAGUUAUAAACCUCAAGAGACACUGAUCCAGUCUUAACUACUCAGUACAAACUGUGCCACGCUCUAAUAAGUGCAAAGGUAUGUUGUAGUACACUGUUUCCAUUUGCUACUCCUUUUGCAGCUUUCUCAGUUGGUAGCAACUUUUUCUUUCUGUGCCUUCCCAGUCCCGGGAAAACAACUAUGGAAAAAGAAGGAACUGCUAGGAUGCUACUUAUUAUCCAGAUUUGAAAACUGGCCUUUUAGGGUCACUCAAAAGCAUUGUUCAUGUUGACUUUCAUUAGUUGCACACUAAUCUCUUUCAGUGAUUGGGGUGGCAGGGGGAAGUAAAACACUGUCUUUGAAUUUGUGCAUGUGAAAUGACAUAAUUAUAGUUUUAUAAUUAUAGUGAUUAUAGAGCCAAGGGGGGAGAAAUGAUUUUUGUCUACUACAUUUUUUUCUUAAUGAUCUCUGAGUACAACAAUAAUAAAAAGAGAGCGUGAUUUCUUGCAUCUUGGGGAACAUGAGAAGUGAUGCAUUUUCGCCCAUUUCAAAUAUUUAUCAGUCUUUCCUAGACAUGUUGUAUAUAAAAGUAAUGAAUAAAACACAACGGGAACAGCAAAAGGACCAUGUUUUAAUGCAUUACACAUGAACGCUCACAGUUGCAGGAAGAAAUAACUGGCCCUUGCAUUAUUUAAGGAGAUUUUUUUUCCCCUUUCCCAGGGAUGGAUCGUGUUGGAUUUACUCCAUUUAUGAGUCAACUUCCUGUGGCCGGGAGCUAUUCUACAACUGCUUUAAGAUGAGAUUCUCUUUGGCUUUGGAGUAGAAAGCUGUAUUUUUAAUAGCCAAUGAGAAAGCAGGUUUAUAUUCAAAACAAGAUGCAGCCAGGUAAAGCUGAGUGCUAGAAUUGAGGUCAGCUAGAAUUAUAUUGUAUAUAGACACUCUGGUGAUAAACAUGUAGCACAGGGCUGUAGGCUCAGCAAUAUAGCACACACAAGCCUACAGCCCCAGGUCCCAUUCCUCACAUAUCCAGUUAAAAGGAUCAGGUAGAUGAUGGGAAAGACUGUUGCCUGAGAUCAUUGUUACUUGCUGCCAGUCAGCCAGCUGCUGCUGAGAAGACCCAUUCUAUGUACAGUGGUACCUCGGGUUACAUACGCUUCAGGUUACAGACUCCGCUAACCCAGAAAUAGUGCUUCAGGUUAAGAACUUUGCUUCAGGAUGAGAACAGAAAUCGUGCUCUGGCGGCGCAGCAGCAGCAGGAGGCCCCAUUAGCUAAAGUGGUGCUUCAGGUUAAGAACAGUUUCAGGUUAAGUACGGACCUCCGGAACGAAUUAAGUACCUAACCUGAGGUACCACUGUAUAGCCCUUACUUACCUUCAGUGUCUUAGAAUUCUAAUGGGAGCCCUUCUUUGCAGUUUCAAGAACCCGGGUACAGGUUUACCAUUUCAGUGAGAGCUAGACCUGGGGCCUAAUGCUACCAUUCUAGACCCGAGACUUUAUUGCCUAUUCCUCACUCUGCAGUGGAGAAUGGAAUGGGUUUGAUUGGAGAACACUCUAACACUCCUUUGGAACAUAAUAGAUUCUCAGUUUAGCUGACUACUGGGCAUGCAACACCCCUUGAUCUGCAUUUGGUCCCUUACCUUUCUCGCCCUGAUCUGGCCACAGUGAUCCAUGCGACGGUCACUACCAGGCUUGAUUAUUGUAACUCGCUCUAUGCGGGGCUGGCCUUCAAGCUGACCCAGAAACUCCAGCGGGUGCAGAAUACCGUGGCGAGGCUCCUUACGGAGUCCUUGCCACGGGAUCACAUUCAUCCAGUGCCUUACCAAUUGCACUGGCUCCCGGUGGAGAACAGGGUCAGGUUUAAGGUGCUGGCUUUGACCUUUAAAGCCCUAUGUGGCCUAGGACCCACGUACCUACGGGACCACCUCUCCUGGUAUGCCCCACGGAGGAUCUUAAGGUCCACAAAUGACAACACAUUGGAGGUCCUAAAUCGCAAGGUGGUUAGAUUGGUUUCAACUAGGGCCAGGGCCUUUUCAGUACUGGCCCCGACUUGGUCACAAGCUCUGUCACAAGAGACUAGGGCCCUGUGGGACUUGACAUCUUUUGGAAGGGCCUGCAAGACAGAGCUGUUCCGCCUGGCCUUUGGUUUGGACUCAGUCUGACCCUUAUGUUUCCCUCCCCUUAUGGUUUUGAUCUAUGGGCUACUUUUAAAACGAGGCUGCAUUUUAAAUUAUAUUUUAACCCGUAUUUUAAAUUGGUUCCCCCUCCCCUAUUAUAUUUUUAUUGUAAUUUUACUGGUGUUAGCAGCCAUGAGCCCGGGGAGGGCGGGGUAUAAAUAAAAUUUAUUAUUAUUAUUAUUUUAUUGGGUUAAGCUGCCAUACUCUGGCGGGCGGCAAAGUGAUUGACAAGACAUUAUGGGCUGUAAGUGUAAUACUUUUGCAAAGUGCUUCUUCUUCUUUCUUUUUCUGUCACCACACCAGUGGAUGCAACACAAUUGCAACAGGUUUCCACUUCCUGUCUUCCCUACUGCAUCUUCCUGAACGCCCCCAAUCUGAUCCAGAAGGAAGAAAGACAAAGUCCCAUGUGUGCAACUGGAAGUCUGUUGUUCAAGGGGGAUGUCGAUAUGCAAUAUCACCCUUGGCGCUUGCACCGAUGGUGUUAAUACUCUCAUUCCUUCAUGUAGCUGUUUGAUCCUGCAGCUGCAAAUAGUGGCCGAGUUUCGCAGGAUGGCUGGAAGCUUUUGGUUCCUCUCGGUAUUUAUGGACAACUUCUCUCUGGGCACAAAUCAAAGAUUAGUCAUUGUCGGUGCUUAUCAGCCAUUCUACAAGCUUAUCUACAAUUCUGCCAGUUAGACUUGGAAGAAUUCUGUUUCUCUCUCCUUCCCGUAACAUUUGAGAAGACCCUAUUUUGUGUAGUUCUGCCAUUUCCAUCAUGUAAGAAUCUAAAUUUAGUGAAGAUUUACGGUAAAGAAAAAGAAGGAAUUUCAGCUUCUGAAUCCCAGAACAGGCUUCUGCCAUUAAAUCAGCGAUUAUUUACAUUAUGUCGCAGUAAAAGAAAGUUGUUAUGCACUCUGUCCCAGCUCAAUUUUCACUAUUACAGCUUUUCUUUUUCCAUACGCAAAUGCAAAUAUAAUGAUCCCACACUAGCAAUUAAGCUUACCACUUCAACCAAGUACACAUCUUCUCUGUAAAGUGAAAACUGGGUUUACAUAUUCACUGCUACCAAAGAAAAGGGGGAGAUACAAAACUUUCACCCAUCCAUCUUAAAUAACUUUUUUUAAAAAAAGUGUGUGAAUCUGUAUCUACCGCAAGCUCAUAUAUUAUGUAUAGCAGCUGUGCUUUGAUCAUGAUGAAGGGAGGGCUAUAAAAACUUUGAAAUAGGAAAAUAAAUGCUUUGGUGGUAUUUGAAUCUUCCUCCAAUUAUUUGGCAGUAUUAUCUUCUACAUGGUAUACAAAUGGUACCCACGUACGUUUUCCCGAUUUUAUGUGUCCUUCCACCAAUUUUAUUUUAGAUGCCGGGUGGCGCUGUAGGUUAAACCACAGAGCCUAGGACUUGCCGAUCAGAAGGUCGGCGGUUCGAAUCCCCGUGACAGGGUGAGCUCCCAUUGCUCGGUCCCUGCUCCUGCCAACCUAGCACUUUGAAAGCACGCCAAAGUGCAAGUAGAUAAAUAGGUAUCGCUCUGGCGGGAAGGUAAACAGCGUUUCUGUGCACUGCUCUGGUUCACCAGAAGCGGCUUAGUCAUGCUGGCCACAUGACCCGGAAGCUGUAUGCUGGCUCCCUCGGCCAAUAAAGCGAGAUGAGCGCCGCAACCCCAGAGUCGUCCACGACUGGACCUAAUUGUCAGGGGUCCCUUUACCUUUACCUUACUGCCAGAGGCAGCAGGCUUCUGAAUGCUGUUUGCUGGGAAUUGAGUGGGGAAAAGAUUGCUACACUCAGGUCCUACUUGUGAACUUUUCAGGGAUAUCUGGUCAGCUGCUGUAUGAACAGGAUGCUGAAUGCUGGAUUAAUAAUGCUGGAUUUGAUUAGAGUUUAUCCAUACUUACCUUUCCUCCUGUUUUUCCAGGCAUGGCCUGUGCUUUAAAGCUCUGUGUCAGAACACCUUUUUGUUUUGUUUUGUUUUGUUCCAGAGCUCUCCCCAUGAAAACCUGCUCCUUAAAGCUCAAUCGGAGGAAACAGCAAUCUGUGUAAAACCUGAAUUGAUAUUUGCCCCGACUGAGCACUAAAGAGCAGAAAUUCCACUCAGAUUUCCAUACAAUAAUAAUCUGGUGGUCAUGCUGCUAAAUACUUUGACCUCCCGCCACGCACACCGGAGGUAAGUGAGGAAGCAUCACAGUUGUGACCUAUAGCAGUAUGGAUUUGGAUGUUUUCUGUCUUAAUAAUGUUGCAUUAUUAUUAUUUAUUAACAACUGAACUUAGCCAACUGUAUCUUUUUAAAAAAGCAACAGUUUAAACAUUCUUUAUUCUGUAAGCAAAAAAAAAAAGAAGCCACAUUUUCUUUGGAUAAUUUUAAAUUGGGCAUUUAGUAAACAGCUCAGUCAUCUGCUUGAGCCGCUCACAAUACCAUGUUUGUUUCUUUCCCUUUCAGAACUGUAGGUCUUUGGUUCUUUCAUAAGAGCUGUUUGCCAAGUGGCCUGAAGCCAUGGAGAAAUUACUUUUCUGUGAAAGCUGCACCUUUGCAAAUAGCAUGUGAAAUUACUAAGAUGUAUUUAGUUAAAACAAGAGCAGCAACAGCAAAAAGUGACGGGAAUAAAUGAGAAGGGAAAGAAAGAAAAAAUAGGCUCUUUAACUCUCCCUUUCAUUUCCUAUAGGAUAAGAAUGGGAAAUGCUUCCAAACUUUCUUCUUCCUUUCUGCAUUUUUCCAUUAAAAUGAUGUUCAAAUGUUUGGCCAGAUUUGCCAUCCAAUUUUUACCCUUUACUCUUGCAUUUAGCCUUCAUACCUUCAACUCUUUGGGAAUCAAUUGCACAGCAUGUAAAAUAGGACUUGAUGGGGCAGAGAAAUAGGUCCGUACUCUCCAUAAUCCCAAUUAAAGGGGAUUUCAUCAUAACCUGCAUUUCAUCUUGUUUCUAAAUUCCAUUUUAAGGCUUUGAGGCCAUGCUGGUCACUGCAGAAAUGUUUCAUCUGCUUAACAAGACACCCCCUCCCCCCGCCCUUGAUAUUUUAGCAAUUUGACCUUGGAACAUUACAUGGAAAUGUGCUUCUGUCUUUGAUUCUGUCAAAGGAAAUGCAGAAUUGGAGUGGGGGGGGAACUGGAUGGAAUGGGAAAUCAUUUUUAAAAUAGUUGUGCUUAAAAGAAAUGAAGCGGCUCAGGAAUCAGAUUAGCCCCUUUUUGGCAUGAGGUUUUCUUCUUCUUUUUCCUUCCAAAGAACUAUUCUGCAUUCAGGACUUUCCAUUACCUUGCUUGGAGGGAAGUGAGCAACAUAAUGCUGUUGCAACUUUAUCUCCCCUCUCCCCUCUACUCUCUGAGUAAACUGAUGAUACUUCUCCUCAAAUCUCCAAAGGUAUCUGACAAAGCAGUUUCAGGUUUUCAGCAGAGUGGGUUAGGUUGAAAGAUGGUAACAGGCCAAGAUCCCUUUCGGAUGAGCAGAGCCUUGAACCCAAGUAUCCCCAGUCUAAGUCCAGCAGUCUACCACAUGCUUAAUAACAUAUAUAUUGCUGAAUUUAGCCUACAUAGUGUUGUUGUUGUUGUUGUUGUUGUUGUUGUUGUUGUUUUACAAUUUAAGGCUUCUGUUUUUCUCUGAUUGGGGAGUAUGUCAGUGGCAGAGCACAGGUCUCUUCAGGUAGCAGGACUGGAAAAAGAUUUUCAUUGCCUGAGACCCUGGAAACCAGCUGCCUGCUGGAGUAGAAAAGCAUUGGGCUGUACCAAGGAUAGCCAAAAUGGUGCUCUCUAGGUGAUGUUGGACUACACUUUCCAUCAGCCUCAGCCGCCAUGGUCAAUGGUUAAAGAUUAUGGCAAUUGUAGCCCAAGAAUAUCACACUGGCUACCCCUAGAUGACUUAGUGGUCUGAUUUAGGAUAAAGCAGCUCCAUUAUCCUAAGAUAUCUUUUAUUAUGCUAGUAAAUGUUGUUGUUGUUUAGUCAUUUAGUUGUGUCCGACUCUUCGUGACCCCAUGGACCAGAACACGCCAGGCACUCCUGUCUUCCACUGCCUCCCGCAGUUUGGUCAAACUCAUGUUAGUAGCUUUGAGAACAUUGUCCAACCAUCUCGUCCUCUUCUUCUUGUGCCCUCCAUCUUUCCCAACAUCAGGGUCUUUUCCAGGGAGUUUUCUCUUCUCAUGAGGUGGCCAAAGUAUUGGAGCCUCAGCUUCAUGAUCUGUCCUUCCAGUGAGCACUCAGGGCUGAUUUCCUUCAGAAUGGAUAGGUUUGAUCUUCUUGCAGUCCAUGGGACUCUCAAGAGUCUCCUCCAGCACCAUAAUUCAAAAGCAUCAAUUCUUCGGUGAUCAGCCUUCUUUAUGGUCCAGCUCUCACUUCCAUACAUCACUACUGGGAAAAUCAUAGCUAGUAAAUAAAAAUCUUUUAUUAUGCUAGUAAGCUAGCACAUUAAUACUUCUUAUUCUAUUGAAAGAGACCCUCAAAUGUGGGAGUGCUAGUGAUUUGGCUUUGAAAAUGGUACUGAACAUUCACUUUGUUUCCCCUUCAAGAUUUCACAUUGAAAGAUUUUGCGUCCGGUCUCCCAGCUUAAUCCUUUCCCUCUGUUGUUUCCUUAUGAUAAUAGAUACUGAUGUAGCUCUUCAAAUGAACAUGAGUCUCAUAUGUUCUAUCAACAGUAUGAGCUCUGGUGCUUGAAAUCCAGCUAUUAAUUGAUAACUUUUUUCGGUGGUAGAUUCCCUACAUAUUUGUCAGAUUAUAUUAACUAAGGUGUAUGGAAUGAAAGAACUGUAUUCUGAGAGACCACCCCAAAUUCUGCCCUGCGAUUUCCCCCCCAGGUUAACAGGGUUGCAAAUUGAUUUAUUUUCCCUGGAAGCAAUUAUCACAGAAACGAGUACUAAACCUCCACUGGAUUCUGCUAGAUUUCCAGAAGUGCAUUCUCCGUCAUGUGAAAUCUUACAUAAAAUGCAAAAAACCCACGAUCAGGUAAGGAAACGUCAGGAAAAUGGCAUAAAGUGUUGUCUGAAUGCAGCCCAUAUGUGUGCGUGGGGAGAGAGAGAGAGAGAGAGAGAGAGAGAGAAGCAGACUUACUAGCAACCAUCUCAGGAAGGCGAAGAUAAAUGAGACUUUUCUCCACUUCUCCUUGGUGGGGAGAAAGCUUAAGUUUGAAAAUAACUUGGGGUCUGGCACUCUUGUCUCCUUCAAAGAACAUCCUGUUAAAAGAGAGCCUUACAUCUGUGAGAGCAAUUGUAGAAAAUGUUGAGAUGUUUCUUUCUUGUGUGUGGUAAAAUCAAGUGAAGAAGCUGGUUGCUUUCUUUUCUUUUCUUUUUAUCAGUGUAAAAGGAUUUUUUGUUUUGCUUUUAUUUAAAGGCCCCUCCCCCCUUCCCUUUCUUCCCUUGCUGUUUCAAAACAUUUCAGACAGGCACUGUUUGUUCUUUGCAUCACUUAGAACAAUGUGUCUUAGGCAUCACUUUGUGUAUUUGUGAAGAAGUCUUUAUUAUACAGUGCUGUGCUAAGUAGACAGUCCAUUAAGAAAUGUGCGUCGAAUUCAAGCAUAUAGCCGAUGAAAUAACAGAACGGUGGAACUCGCUCAAGGACACCCAUCACAAAGACAAAUGCAAGGGUGCAGAGUGAAGUAAACUGUCGUAGUAAAAAUACCGCAGGAAAUGAUGUACUUCAUAUAUCUAUUUUCCACCUCACCACCCACUGAGCAGAGAGAGCUCUGAACACAGAACUUAAUGGAGCCAAUGAGCUCCAGUCAGUUCUAUGGGAGACGAGAUGGGACUUGCCAUCAGAAGAUGUCUUGAGCAGACUGAAUGGUUCUGUGUAUAUAAGGAGUUUGAAUGUGUGCGAGAGAUCUGAGUGGAGACCGAAGCAACAUGCAUAUAAUUUGUGCUUGGAUGUGAAUGUGGGCAGGUACGAAUGGAGAAGGAACCACAAGCAAAAACAUGUCUGUGAAGGAAUGAAACACUUUUGAAUGUGUUCUUAUUUAUGCAAUGUUUGCUUUCUGUUGAGACAUUGGGUUAUUUAGAGCAGCAAUUCCUAACCUUCUGAGGCCCAAGGCCACAUGUGGAAAUCAGAGGAACUGCCAUGGGCACCACCACAAAAUGGCUGCCAUGGGUGCCCAGCAUACUCUUAAAAUGGCUGCACUUUAAACUCGCCUAAUGAUGGGAUUUUUAAAUGUGCCAUGGGUGCCAGCACAAAAUGGCUGCAAUAAGACCUCCCUCAAAAAAGAGGUAACGGUAUUGUGUACCAUUGGCUACCAUCAUACAGCAAAAUGACUAGGAAGCAACAGCUUUCUAUAUUAUGUGAAGCUGAUGAAGACGUAUUUGUGAUAUUAUACAUUUGUACAAUGUACAUGUGAAUCCUUAGAAGGAAUAACAUGGAAAAGGAACAAGGUAAAAUGAGAUAUCUCUGCCUAGAUGUGGAAACGAAUGCAGUGCCUGGUUCUGUUGUGUUCAGAUAUUGCACAAACUAUUAGAGGGACUGAUAGAACUAUCAUACUGAUGAAUGGCUGCAUUCAGUGGCAUUAAAGAAAAUUUAUGUUAGAGCAACUGUCACUAAAAACAUUCAUUUAUCAAAGGAACUUACUUACUGGUCUCUAAUUUCUAUUAGUGAGCUAUCAAUACCACAUUAGCUAAUCCAUGUGCAUAAUGGCAAUCACGAUGUUCCCCCAAACCCAGUAAACUUUCAAAUUUAUCAUCUUCUUAUGACUUGUCUUGGAUUUUGAUGGCAUUCCUACAAAAUGGUAUUUAUUAGCCCUGAUCAGUUUAUACCUGUAACCGUCUAAUGUGAUGUUCUAUGCUGAGCCCAAAUCUAAUCGUGCAGGUCAAAAAUCUCUCAUCUUCUCAAAGCUCUGAUUCUUCAAGUGAAUUUCCCCUCUUGUCUGGAUCAGUAAGCUACCCGCAGAUUCACCCUACCUCACAGUUUGAAAAUCUGAGUUUAACAAGUCAGUCUGUUUAGAAUUUUGAUAGGACACUUUGGUGUAAUUUGUUCAAGUCUGGAAGGAUUGACACUGACCUCUGAGAAGUUGGUGGGGUGGAGGAAAUAGCUGAUCAUGUUGUAUGUGAUUGUUUGAGAGACUGGGAUGAAAAAGAACCUCUCCUUCACAAACAUAAGAACUUCGGCAUCACAAAUUUGUAUUUGGGGGCUGUCGUUUGUGUGGGAAUGUUAAGGAUAGUAGGAAAGGAUAUACUGAAUAAGUAUUAUCCUUCCUUCAUUCACACUAGUGAAUGAUGUAGCAGAGUAAAUUCCCCUCAAUCUAGCUGGAAGCUAGUUUGCAAAUCUGUUUGAAUCUCUUAGUUAAGAUUACUUUCUGUUAUCUCCUUUAAUCCCUCUUAAAAAAAUAAAGACACGAGAGUCUUUCUGAGUAAAGUAAGAAGUUUACUCACAUUUCAGUUCACGAUUUAAUCCCUGAAAGGCAGGAUUUUCUUAGCAGCUACAUAAACAAACAGUGUGAGUUGAUCUCAUAUGGAGCCUGAACUCAUGCUCUUAGCCAGCAGAAAGCAAAAUUACAUUAAGACAAAAUGGCUGCAGAAGAGCCACAUGGCAGCAAAAGAGCAGCAACAAGAGAACUUCAAGACAAAAGGUAGACUGCGACUGAGAAAAUGGCUGCAUAACUCGGCUCUUUUAAGGAGUCAGCCAGAGCCACGCCCACCUCCCAGGUCACAUACAGGGGGAGGAAGCUCUAGACCAGUGGAAGGGGAAGUUACACUGACUGGAUGUCCCCCUGCCUGUGCCCCCUCUAGGGAAAUAAGGAAUGUUGCAUUUGACUGCACAAAUGGGUUACAUCCCACACUUUGGGACAAAAAUUAUUAAGCAUGGGGUCCAGGGUUCAAGAUUUUAUGAAAGCUCUCCUGAGAUACAAGGCUUCCUGAAUCAUUAUAAUCGAGCGGGUAAUAAAGUAAAGUUGAGGGUUCCUUGUUCGGGUCCCGAUUACCCCCCAACACCAGUUUUUAAGGGAACAUGUAACACAGGAAGGUGCAAUAUGUUUUCCAUUUUACCAUGUGAAUGCAUCUAUAUAUGCAUCCCCACGGGCAAAUGCCCCUGCUUUGUUUCCCGAGGCUACCAGACAGAUGUCAGGAAAAGGUCUUUUCUGCAUACCCUCCACCAUUUCUCUGAUGAAAAUAGGGAUGCCCUAUUCCAUCAUCAUACUACUGAAAUAUUAUUUAUACCCUGCCCAUCUGACUGGGUUGCUCCAGCCACUCUGGGAGGCUUCCAACAUAUAUGAAAACAUAAGCAUUAAACAUUUAAAAAACUCCCCAUACAAAGCUGCAUUCAUAUGUCUUCUAAACGUUGUACACUGGUACCUCAGGUUAAGCACUUAAUUCGUUCCAGAGGUCCGUACUUAACCUGAAACUGUUCUUAACCUGAAGCACCACUUUAGCUAAUGGGGCCUCCUGCUGCUGCCGUGCUGCCGGAGCACGAUUUCUGUUCUCAUCCUGAAGCAAAGUUCUUAACCUGAAGCACUAUUUCUGGGUUAGCGGAGUCUGUAACCUGAAGCGUAUGUAACCUGAAGCGUAUGUAACCUGAGGUACCACUGUAUAGUUACUUAUCUCCUUGGCUUGGGGGUCGCAUAACUCCAUACCCUCCAACAUUUGCCCAAUGAAAACAGGACCAUCCUAAGGAAAAGCAGGGAUCAAUUCAGAAACCAGGACGACUUCAGUAAAUCUGGGACUGUCCCUAGAAAAUAGGGAAACUUGGUCUGUUUCUUUAGCGGAGUCCCGGCUAGGGAACUCCAUAUCCCAAGAGACCCACCUGGCUUCUCUCAUCCCCAUAGCAUUUCAAUACAAAGCUAUAAUAUUGUUUUGUCAGGCCUGUUAUGAUAUGUCUGAGCUCUGAUGUCAUUCCUCUACCCCCUAAGUAUGGCUUUUAUCGCUUUUAACUGCUUUUAUUGUUAGCGUUUUAGCAUCUAGCUGUCUUCUGCUGUGCUUUUAAUUAUGGUGUUGCAAGCUGCCUUGGACAUCUUUUUAUAAGAUAUAAAAGGCUGAGGGGGCAACUCACUCUGAAGCUGCACCCAUCAUAAACAUGCAAUUUAUCUUCUUUUUUUUAAAAUAGUAUUUAUUAAGGUUUUAAAUUUACAAAAAGGCAAAAGAAAAAACACCAAAUUAAACAAUAGCAAAACAACACAUCACAAUAAAAAAACAGAAAAAUAGAAACAAUUAAAAACAAAAACAAAAACAAAAACAAAUCGAGCCUUCCCAUAACUUAUCUUUCAUUUGCUUGUUUCCCUGACCUCCUCACACCUCCCUUUUUUGUAUUCUAAGUCAAUGAUCCAUUUCAGCAAAUCCUUUCCCUCUCUUCAAAAUUUUUAUCCUGAAAAUUUAUCUUGAUCUUAAUAUAAGUUUACUUUCCCUCUUUUCACCAAUUAACAGUCUAUUUUUCUUAAAUCUUAGAUACAUUUUUGCUAAAAUCACAUAGAUUCAUUCCCACAUCAUUCUAACAUUCAUUAAUUUUACAAUGUUUCUGUAAAUAGUCUUUAAAUUUCUUCCAAUCUUCCUCCACCGACUCUUCUCCCUGGUCUCGGAUUCUGCCAGUCAUUUCCGCCAGUUCCAUAUAGUCUAUCACCUUCAUCUGCCAUUCUUCCAGAAAUAAACAUGCAAUUUAUCAAUCAGCUUCACUCUCCCUUGGUGAAUGGCACCUGUCCUGUAUGGUUGGAUCUUCUAGGGAUAAUGAAAUAAGAUUUGACAAUGAACAUCUGGUGGUGAAGGACCAACGCGGUGAUGGGUCACUUCAUUGGUUGUGCCAGCCUAUACUAGUGGUAAACUGCAAAUGCAAACCAUAUUGACAUAUUCCCUGCUAUACCAGAUUCCUCCCUCAGCAAACGUGCUGUUGAUUUCCUUUCAUUACCUCCCAUCAGUUCUACUGAGGAUGCCACUGUCCAAUGUAAUAGCAUUUCAAUAUUGAUUUUCCAGACAGUCCUAAAUAAUGCUGUCAUAUUAAUAACCUCCAAGGCACUCUUGGGGUCAGGCUUCGUGUAUCUUCCUUAAGAUAACACAAUUGCAAUGAUCACCAUUCUUUAGGGGGUCUCCAGGUCAACAACACAUUUUUUUAACCCGACAGAUGAUUACAUGAACUGCUUGUUCCUGGGAGAGGGAGGGACAUCAAUAUAUUUGUUUAGUUUAAUAAUGAAAUCUUGCUGCUGCAUCUGCCGCCGCUUUUUAAGGAAUUGGUAUGUGUUGUGAUCUGUUAUUACGCUUACCGUGCAGCAUUAAUGUGAUGAAUACAUCCACAAUGGCACCUUUCUCACACUGAGUUCCAUUUAACAUUUGCCUCUGGUUUCCUUACAUUCCCUGAAGCAUUUACCUCUGUGGUUGCUUGCAUGCUGUAUCUGGUUGUGAUUUGGGUAGAGAAUGUCAGGAGCUGCUCAUGAGGUGGUGUGGCGCUUCAGAACAACCCUCCUGACAUGGACAUCUCUGCCGAUUGCCUCGAUGGGACACGGCAAGGUGGCAGCAAUGGCAGAUUGGCUCCACCGGUGCAACUGUGUAGCCACUGUGGGAUGCAAUCCAUUUGUGCAGUCAAAUGGAACAUUCCUUAUUUCCCUAGAGUGGGCACAGGCAGGGGGACAUCCAGUCAGUGUAACUUCCUGUUCCACUGGUCUGGAGCUUCCUCCCCCUGCAUGUGAUUCGGGAGAUGGGCGUGGCUCUGGCUGACUCCAUAAUAGAGCCCAGUCACACAGCCAUUUCUCUCUCUCUCUCUCUCUCUCUCUCUCUCUCUCUCUCUCUCGCUUGCUGCUCUCCAGCAGCCAUUUUGUUCUUUUCAUGUAAUUUUGCACAUGAGCUCAAUCUCCAUAUGAGAUUCACUCACAGUUUGUUAUGUAACUACAGUGGUACCUCUGGUUGCGAACGGGAUCCUUUCCAGAGGCCCGUUUGCAACAUGAAAAACCCGCAACCUGAAGCGCCGUACCUGCGCAGGUGUACGGCGCGAUUUGGUGCUUGUGCGCAUGCGCGAGCGGCGAAACCCGGAAGUAACCCUUUCCGGUACUUCCGGGUCGCCGCAGGACGCAACCUGAAAAAACGUAUCAUGAAGCAAAUGUAACAUGAGGUAUGACUGUACUAAGUAAAGUCUGCCUUUCAGGGAACUGAAAUGUGAGUAAAUUUCUUGUUACUUUUAAGGAAAGACUCUUGUGUCUUUGUUUUUUAAAGAGGGAUAAAAGGGGACACCAGGAAUAAUCCAUCUGGGCAAGCCAGAUUGGAUUACUUAACUAAAGAGAUUCACACGAAACUAGCUUCCUGCUAUAUUGAGGGGAAUCUGCUCUGCUACAUCAUUCACUAGCGUGAGUGAAGGAAGGAUAAUACUUAUUCAAUAUAUCCUUUCCUGCUACCUUUAACAUUCCCACAGCCACAACCUUGCUGCCAUUCUCCCUAACCUCAGCCUCAUCCAGGUAAGAGGGAACAAGGCCAGAGGGGGCCUCCACAGCUCUGCCCCACCACAUAGGCCACUACUGAAUAGGGCGCCUGUCAGUCUCUCAGUUUGUGAUUUUCAGGUUGUGAGUUUUGUUGCUUAUAUAGCCAAAAGAGAAUCACGCACAUAUAUGAGGGAGGUAUCAGCAGGAUUGGGUGAACUUUGAGAUUUAGAGAAGUACAAUUGAAGCAAAAAACAAAAAAACAAAAACAAAACCUAAGGGCAGAACUGCCUACAACAUAGGACUCAGUGAGUGGCCCUGUUUUAUGUAUUAUACCAUCUAGAUGCCUACUACUGUGCCAAAGAUACAUAGCCUCAUUCUUUAAAAAAACACAAUAGAACUCAAGAUAAAACAAAGCCAACACUGCGAAAACAAAGCAAAACAGCAACAAAAGAAACAGAACUAUAAAAGAAAACCAAGGCAACGAAGGAGAAGAAUCUUUUCUACAUUCAAACAGUCACUCUCUAAAACCAGCACAAGGUUUGCCUGAUGUUGGAAGGCUAACAGUGAAGGGGUAGAAUGAACCCUGAGAGGAGCUCAAAACAGAUGUCCUUGGACUUCAACUCCCAUCAGCCCCAACUGGCAUGACUAAUGAUCAGAGAUGGUGGGAGUUGUGGUCUGGUAACCCCUGGUGAGCAUUAGAUAGGCCACCUUUGUUUUAUAGCAUAAGUGCCGCUGGAGAAACAGCUAAUUUCACAUAGAAAGGAGAUUCGAAGCAGGGUUUCAGAGGAAGAUCUCCCAUGUGGGAGAAAGCAAUACUUUUAGAGCAGGGUUGGGGAACCUCAGGCUCAGGGGCAAAUGGAGUCCUCCAGGCCUCUCUGUCUGGUCCUUUGGACUCUCCUCGUGCCCCAUCUCCCCAGGCACAACCACUCUCCCAGGCCCUACCUCUCACUGGCCAUGAUCUGUAUCCUCCUGGAGCACUGUUUCUCAACCUGUGGGUCCCCAGAUGUUGUUGGUUUACAACUCCCAUCAUUCCUAGCCAGCAUGACCAGUGGUCAGGGAUGAUGGGAGUUGUAUUCCAACAACAUCUGGGAACCCACAGGUUGAGAACCGCUGUGCCUGGAGUGUGGACUUGAGUGCAGACAAUGACUCUUGCUUGCCUGGAAGGAGGAUAGAGAUGGAUAUGGAAGUGUGUGUACAACUGGUGACAUUUGCGGUCUUGUUCCACUCACUUGUGGUUCUUCAUUGCAACCGCCAUGGGCAUGUGACCUCCACAGGGUUGCCAAGAAGGAAACAUAGCCCUCAGACUGAAAAAAAGGUCCCAUUUUGAUUUAGUAUUUCUGAUUCUGAUUCCUAGUAUACAGCUGAAACUUGGAAAAUUAGAAUAUCAUGAAAAAGUUCAUUUAUUUCAGUAAUUCAACUUAAAAGGUGAAACUAAUAUACGAGAUAGUCUCAUGGCAUGCAAAGCGAGAUAUGUCAAGUCUUUAUUUGUUAUAAUUGUGAUGACCAUGGCGUACAGCUGAUGAAAACCCCAAAUUAACAAUCUCAGAAAAUCAACACAGACUGUGGAAACUUCACACUGGACUUCAAGCAUCUGGCAUUGUGUGCCUCCCCAUUCUUCCUCCAGACUCUGGGUCCUUGGUUUCCAAAUGAGAUGCAAAAGCUGCUCUCAUCAGAAAAGAGAUUUGGGGAGCCAUGUCAUCAGUUGGUGUUGGUCCACUGUGCUUCAUUAAGUCCAGGGUCAACACAGCCAUCUACCAGAAGACUUUGGAGCACUUCAUGCUUUCUUCUGCAGACGAGCUUUAUGGGGAUGGUAACUUCAUUUUCCAGCAGGACUUUGGCACCUGCCCACACUGCCAAAAGUACCAAAACCUGGUUCAGUGCCCAUGGGAUUACUUUGCUUGAUUGGCCAGCAAACUUGCCUGACCUGAACCCCAUAGAGAAUCUAUGGGGCAUUGCCAAGAGAAAGAUGAGAGACAUGAGACCAAGCAAUGCAGAAGAGCUGAAGGCUGCUACUGAAGCAUCCUGGUCUUCCAUAACACCUCAGCAGUGCCACAGGCUGAUAGCAUCCAUGCCACGCCACAUUGAGGCAGUAAUUGAUGCAAAAGGGGCCCAAACCAAGUACUGAGUACAUAUGCAUGCUUCUAUUUCUCAGAGGUCCAAUAUUGCUCUAUUUGCAGUCCUUGUUUUGCUGAUUUCAUUUAAUAUUCUAAUUUUCUGAGAUUGUUAAUUUGGGGUUUUCAUCAGCUGUACGCCAUGAUCAUCACAAUUAUAACAAAUAAAGACUUGACAUAUCUCGCUUUGCAUGUCAUGAGUCUAUCUCAUAUAUUAGUUUCACCUUUUAAGUUGAAUUACUGAAAUCAAUGAACUUUUCCACAAUAUUCUAAUUUUCCAAGUUUCACCUGUACUUGCCCCACAAUUGCAGAUUUUGCCUUUUGCUUUUCUCUUAAUAAAUGCUUAUUUUGCUCAAUGUGUCUUGCACCUGCAUAACUCCUGAUGGUACACAGUUCCUUCACUGUCUUUGCACUAUCACUGCCACGCUUCUUCCAAGUGGUUCGCUCCAUAGCAAUGUGUGAACUGGCUAAUGUGUUCUCCAAGCACAUUUUGUCAUUUGCGCGAUGCUCCCACAAGUUCCACUAAGCCAGCCAAUGGAUCAUUGCAUUCCCCCCCCCCUACAGUCUUAUAAAACACUGCAUUUUAAGUGCUCAGAAAAUGUGAGGUUGGGAACGGCACCUUCAUGGGAAUAAGUUGCAGGCUGCAUGCAACCAAUGGGGGCAAAGGUGAUUUACAAAUAGGUAUCAACUCUCGAAACAUAUCCCAAAAAUGUAACAGUUUCCUUUAAUCACAAAUGCUUGAUAAUGAUCAGAGGUUAAAUAAAAAAGUGUUAUCUCAGUUGCUUUAAUUAUUUUCACACCCACAAAGAAACUUAACAGCAGUUUAAUUAGAAAUAUUAGUCGACUGAGCUGCAUCUACAGCAGACAUUGUGUCUGUUCAGGGAGAAAUAAAGAAAGCUGGGGUUAGAGAUCUGAGCAAAUCACUGCAAAUAAGUUAUUUGUGCAUGUAUUAUAAACUUGUAGGGCCAUUUGCAGUGUGUUAUAAAAAUGCAACAAUCACCCUCCACAAAAAAUGUCUAUAAAAGAGUGGCAAAGCCUAAAAGAAAAGAUAACAGCAUUAAAACUGCUUGAAAUGACAAUGGUUUGUUUGCUGACCAUUCCAUCUGUCAAUUUUGUUUUCUUUGCACUUUUCCCUAUGAAUUUGAAAUUUUGUUUUUUUAAAAAAAAUUGGCCUAAUCCAGCAGGCUAUUAUUGUGUUCUUAUGUUCUUGAUCAAUUCUCUCCUAAAAUAUUCUGCUAGUAUGGUGAAUCUUCAUCGGAAUUCUUCUUGCGCUGUAAGGACAUAAAAAUGAGUGCAGGGCAUAUUUGUGCUUCCCUGAAAAACAACAGCAUUUCACCUGGAAGGGAAGUGGUUGCUGAUCCCCACACUUAGCAAAUAGCUCGGUUUUGGCAGGAACAUGACUCACAUCGGUAAUUGUCCUCAUAAUAAAUAUUGAGCUUUGGGGAACAUGUUGCUGGAAAAAAAAAUAACUUUGUGCCAGCCAACCACGGCAGCUUGCUUUGUUGUUCCCAGCAAAUUGAUGGGCUCAACCCUGUCCUCUUGAUGUUUAUGCAUUUCCACCCACUGCUACUGGUGCCAGCCACAGUUCUGCACCAGAAUACUUCCCACCUCCCUUGAGAUUCUUGGAAACGCAACCUCUUCACAGUUCUGUGAUGCAUUUCUUUCUCCCCGUCCACCCACAACAUGAAUAUCUGUAGAUGUGAAAUAGAGGUGUUGAAACUGAUGGGUAUUUUCACUUGCCAGGUUUGUCUGAGGCUAAGUGCCAGGGCCUGCACAAGACAUUUUGGCACUUGGGGUAGACCCCCCAAUGGUGCUUCCCUCCCUGCCAGGAAAGAGGGGUGAGGGAAGGUCAAGGAACAAGGGAGGAAGAAAGAUUGACAUUGGGAUCUGCUGCCUUGGAGGAUCCUUCCGCCUGAGGCAGGUGCUUCACCUGGCCUCAGGGGUGGGCCAGCUCUGCUAAGAACUCUAUGCAGAGCUCAAUAGUUGUAUCUGCUGUCGGCAUUCGGAGGGCCGGGAGACCAGCUGAUAAGCCCCAGCUGUGCCAUCUCCAUCCAUCGGCCUGUGCUCUGGGGUCUUGACACGCAAUACAUUUCCUACUUUUUGUGAACGGAGAAUAUGUGGAAUCCACAAAGCUUCAGCAGUGGCAAUAAUAGAUUCAUUAGCCAUGUUCAGGUAUAGUCAAAUUAUUACUGGGGCAGGAGUGCAAGGCUGAGAUCACUAAACUGGUGUUGACUUAAAUGUAUGGUUUUUUUCUGCUAUGAGAGAGAGAGAGAGACUUUUAGGGUCCAACCUUCUUAAGACAGAUUCCAACAACAUGUCAAAUUUAUAUAAUUGAUAAUAAACAUAAAACACAGUAAAAAUAGAACUGGAAAAGAAAAAAAACCCAACAGUGACCAGAAAUAACCUCAAAGCAGCAGUAGUCAGUUGGAAUGUUUGGACCCUUGGAAUGUUUUGGACUACAACUCCCAUCGUUCCUGACCAUGUCCCAUACUGACUAGGGCUGUUGAGAGUAAUCCAAAACAUCUGCAGGGCACCAUAUUGUCUGUCCCUGCCUUAAAGCAACCCCUUGUCCAGUAAAGCUACAAAGGUGUGUAAGUGUCAACUGACAAUAAUGACAGCAACAUUUCAGUGAGAUCUGGAAAAAAGAGACGAUACUAUAUUUGUUACACUGACAAUAUCCUCAAAGAAAAACUUUGAGCUUCUUAGCAUAAGAUAAUACCCACCUUAAUUUAGAAUAAUUGCUUUGGUUAUUAUUGAGACUGUGAAAUGGACUAAGCAGGCAAAUCCAGUCUGCUUUCUAGAUACAGCAAAUGUGGAUUAAUUAAGCAUUAGAUCUUGGCCUCUUUAUGGCAUUCCAAAGUGUUGGAAAGAGAUAUAGAUCAAUCAUCAUGCUAAAUACAUGAUAGAGUACGGCCUGAGCCAAACUAGACUAUAAAUACAAUAAUUAUCUGGGAGCAUUCCUGUGCGGAGUGCAGUUCUGCCCUGGGAUCCUUUAAAAUUAUUUUUCAGCUGAGAUAUGGCCUGAGAGGAGAAUAUUUGCUGUAUUUCUAGUGGAAAAGAAGCUUGUGCUAGCUUGUUUGACUAUGACAAUCAAUGUUGCACUUCUCUAUAGAAAAUGAUGCAGAUUGGUCCAUUAUAGUUGUCUUUGGUAAAAUGGCCUUGGGGGCAUUCUUCUGUUCUCUUGAUUAUACUUAUAUUUUGCUUUUCUCUCACAAUCCAGCAUGGUAUAAUGGUUAGUGUAUUGGAUUGUGACCUGGGAGACCUGGGUUUGAAGCUCACAGCCAUGAUGCUCACUGGGUGGUCUUGGGUGAAUUAUUGUCUCUCAGCCUAACCUACCUCACAGGGUUGUUGUGAAGAGGGGAGAACCAUGCAGAACACCUUGAGUUCCUCAGAAGAAACAGUGAUGUAUAAAUGUAAUAAAUGCAGUGGUACCUUGGAAGCUGAACGGAAUCCGUUCCGGAAGUCCAUUUGACUUCCAAAAUGUUUGGAAACCAAAGUGCGGCUUCCGAUUGGCUGCAGGAAGCUCCUGCAGCCAAUCAGAAGCCACAGAAGCCACGUUGAACAUUUGGGUUCCAAAGAACGUUCACAAACCAUAACACUCACUUCUGGGUUUGCGGCAUCCGGGAGCCAAAAUGUCCAACUUGCAAGGCAUUUGGGGUCCAAGGUACGGCUAUAAAUAGAAAUGACAUUGUUUGGGCAAUGGAUUUCAAACUUCUGCAUAUGCACUAGCAUCAGAUGUACAGAGUGUGUUGUGCUGAAACCUAGCCUCCCAUUUCUCUAGAGUUUUCUUUCCUUUGAAGGAAGCUUCCACUUUUCUUCCCCAUAUGAUGGACACCUUAGAACAGGCUUCCUCAACCUCGGCCCUCCAGACGCUUUUGGCCUACAACUCCCAUGAUCCCUAGCUAGCAGGACCAGUGGUGGGAAUUGUAGUCUCAAAACAUCUGGAGGGCCAAGGUUGAGGCAGCCUGCCUUAGAGUGUCUCUAUGAUUUCCAUGAAUUUAAGGAAUGAAUAUAUAUCUUAUUUCUGCAAGGAGUGUGUGUGAGAGAGUUAUAUCCUUAAAUGUUUGUCCACUUUUCUGCAGCACGCAUUUCCUGAUCCAAUAAAGCCCUGUGAAAGAAGUUAAAUCAUGAAAUUUUCCUCUGGGCCUUAACUGAAAGAAUGGGAAGCUUGGGAGGGUGGUUCCCCGGUGCCGGAAGAAGCUGCUCUCACUCAUUUUGCUUUUAAAGGAAGAUCUUCCUUUUAUUUACUUUUCAAGAAAAUCGGUCUGCAUUGAUUUCUUGAAAAGCAAACAAUACUUCAUUUUUAAAAUCACUAACUGCACAAAUGUCAGGUGCAUGGAAUGCAACCUCCCUGCAUUACCAUGCUUGCAAAAAAGCUCAGCUGGGGCGUGAUUGCGUUUUCAGGAAGUACAGGCACCUGGGAAGUCAGCAGAAGGCAGACACCUCUGAGAAGAAAGAAAGAAAGAAAGAAAGAAAGAAAGAAAGAAAGUCAUUCACAAAGUUAUUGGCCACCUCAGAAGUGAGGUAAGUGCAACCAUCGCCACCACGUUCCACAUGAGAAUUUCACCCAAAUUUUCCUUUCCUAAUUUUAAAAUGCAAUUUAUCUUCUCAUUAACUGACGGUUUGGUGGUAGGCGAUGGUGGUGCAGAAUUUUUUAGACACAGCAAUAAGUCUAGCUGCAUGCCUAGACCAGGAAUGUACUUCCAGACAAACCUAGAGAAGGUACGCAGGACAUUAGUGUGUCACAUUGAAGAGGGACUGCCUCUAGAGAAGAAGCUCAUCUUGCACAACAUGCAAAUUUUAAUCUCAUGUUCUCUCCUAGAUGCAAUUCUUUCAAAGCCUAGACAUGAGGCAUCUUCUAUGAUGCUUCACCCCAUCCCACCCCACCCAACCCAGUCCCUUUAAUUGCCGCCUUCUCCUGAGAGCUCCAUGAUGCAACACUCUUUUCUUGCCUCUUAGGGUAGCAUUUGCAGACCUACAUAUUUGUAGGCUGCAAGGACUUUGGCUCGGGACACUAUUACUUACUUAUUUACUUACCUACAACCUUCAUAUACCAAAGACUAGUUCUAAAAUUGCCCUUGCCACCAGUCUCAAGAUUCGUUAAGAAAGGCCACAAAAAACCACACACACAAAAACAAAAACGGGAUGGGAGAGAGGAGGGCAUGUGUGGUCUCCAAAUACCUGUGGCGCUUUUAGCAGAAUGCUCAGAGUCCCAGGUUCCUUAGUGCAGUAAUUAUUUAUUGUGAGCUAAAUAUAUAUACAAAUAUCUACAGAAGCAGUUCAUAUAAUCAGACAGAGUACCUGCACCUUGAGGCAAAAGAAGACUCCACACUCAUCUACACCACACCACCAUUACUAUUGGACAGGCUUUACUUUUAAACCAGUGACAGCCAAUCACAUUACUGCUGAGUCAUUCCACAGAGAGUAUUGCAUCAGCCUGUUGCAAACUGAAGCCCGCAGACUUACUUACACAGCAUCCUGUGAAUCCCAACAAAUACUUCAUGGAUGUGAAAGAACCUCUUAUCUUUGUAGCCAAUGAGUUAUCAGUUGAAAGCUUUGGGAGCAAACUCUUGGAAGGGAACUCUUCCUCCCAAAAAGAAAAAGAAAGAGAGCUCUAACUGACAAGUGAUACUGGUUGUAGCACAUCUAUUUUGCAUAUCAGCUCUGCAAAUGCUGCAAUUUGCAUUGAGCACCUGAGGGAGGAAGUCUUAUUUUUAUCCUGCUGUUUCCCAAAGAGGUCAAGGAAGAGCUGCAUUUGCAAACGGAAGAUCUAGCUCUGUUGUCAAGGAGGCCAGACCCUGGUGGUCUGGGGGCUGUUCUGAUUUGGGGAACAGGGAAGAUGGAACACUUGUGAUCUCAUGCCUGAAUGUGCCAAGUUGGGAAUAUGCUAUGAUCAGUUGCAGAACAGCCUUCCCCAACCUGUUGUCCUCCAGAUGUUUUGGACUUCCACUCCCAUCUUGCAUGGUUGACUGUCUGCAGAUGAUGGGAGUUGUGGUCUCACAAAUACCUGGUGGGCAAUAGGUUGAAGUGGGCUAGUCUAGAACAUGGCUGAUAUUUUGGAAAGCAGUUAAUAUGUGACACAAAUCACUAUCAAAUCAAUUUGAGAGUGCCAGCACUGAAAGUUUCUAGAUAUUGAUCACUAGCAGCGCUUUCAUGAGAGCAGAGUAUAUCAGAAGGUCCAGACACUUUUUGGUGUCUCAAAGCAGCAGAGGUGAGAAAGUUCAGAAUUAGAGAAGACUCUUGGUUGGAGUUGAAAAUCCAUUGAUGAGAUGUUUCCUCCCAGAAAACCCAAAUCCCUAAAGUGUAUUAAAUGUAAUCCCCCUUCCAAAAAAACCCACACACAAUUUUCUGAAUGCCAAGGAGAUGCCAUUAAAGAGACAGCCUGUGCAUAACGAGCAGGGCUUAAAACAAGAAGGGGAGCGGAAAGCCGAUUGCCAGACAUUAAUGGGUCAGUAAGAACAGCACGUAGAAGUCUUGCUCCUUAAAACCAGCCAAGAUGUUAUAGUCAAUUGGCAAUGAGUUUGCAGAUACUAAAAUACUUGCUGAGUUAAUUGUCUAGGACUAGGGCAGCAGGGAGGGCAACCCUUUGAAAUUCCAUUUUGAAACUCUCGAUUAUGUGAAAUUAUGAAAGUGCCUCAAAGAGAGAUGAGCUAGAGAUUGGGUGAACCACUUGGAGCAAUGGCUCUUUCCGAAAGAGUUGGAAUUAAAUCAUUAUUUGCAGAGGCAAAGUCUCCUGACUUGAAAUCUGUCAAUGCACAGAUGUUCAGAGUGAAGAUAAUAAUGUCAUAGACAUGCCCUCCUCUCCCUCUCUCCCUCUCUCCCUCCCUCCCUCUCUCUCUCCCUCCCCCAAAAGCUAUUUCAAAGAAGUUGCAAUUGCCUCAUUAGUUGCAGACCAGAGCUCUUGAACAUCAUUGUACAUGAUGUUCUUGAACAUAUACAAAUGACUUCCUGAAGAUAUACUAGAUUUUGGGCAGGUUGUUGAAAAUAAGUGAAUUAGCAGGGCUAACUUGAAUAGCCCAAAUAUGCUGUUUGCAUUUAUUUUCACAGCACUUUUAAGCACUGUUCAAACUACUAAAGUUAGUCAUAGAAUUAUAGAGCUGGAAGGGACCUCAAGGGUCCUUGAGUCCAACCUUCUGCAAUUCAAGAAUCUCAGCUAAAUAAUCCCUCUCAAAUGACCAUCCAACCUCUGCUUAAAAACCUCCAGCGAAGGAGAGUCCACCACAGUCUGAGGGUGUCCAUUCCACUGUCAAGUAGUUCCUACCACCAGAAAUUUCUUCCUAAUAUUUAGUCAGAAUCUCCUUCCUUGUCACUUGAAUUCAUUGGUUCAGGUCCCACCCUCUGGAGCUACACCGAUUCUGUGAGUUUGACUGGGUUUUUUGUUUUCUCUUCCAUACAGUAAUGGCCCAUUGGGAUAGGUCUGUUUUUCCACAGCAGAGAAGAGGGCAUACUGGGAGGAAUAAUGGCUUACCAGGACUUGGCCUAUUGCAUUUCCAUGCAUGCUUUGUUAAAUUUGGCUUUGUGUGUUUGAGGUUCCUCCACCCCCCCCUCCAACCGCAGGAUAACUUUCCCAUAAAGAUAGAUCACAGCUGACAGUUUUCUGGCAGAAUGAUCGCUUAUGUGGUACGAUCAAAUGGCCACCACUGGGCCCUUAAAUUAAGCUGUGCCCCAUCCCAGAAAACAAUAAAGAUGUUUGUUUGUUUAGGGCAAGUUGCCGACUUGUAAAGAAUAAUUCUGAAAAUUCUGGUUUUCAGCCUUGUUUAUCCAUUUGUCACAUUGAUCCACUUCAGUCUAAUAUGAAAAGACAGCUAUGGUGAGCCCUGCUGUUGAAAAACAUGGUGCAGUGCUUGUGAGUAAUCAGGAAUGCCAAACACCCACCGCCCCACACAAAGAACAAGAAGUCAAUAAUGGAAAGAGCAACGCUUCUCUUGAAUUGCUUUGCACCCAAGGGUGAAACAACAGGCUCCAAUCAAUAAGAGACCGGUUGCAACAUCUCUUGAAUGCUCUCUUCCUCUGAACGCAAACCAUUGCUCAGCGCUAUCCGCUUAUGCCCGCUGAGGGGAUUGAAGAAGUCUGACUUGCGCUUUAAUGAGAGAGGUCCUCCUGACUUCCCCUCUGUCUUGCAAGCAUUCAAAGCGCAGAUCCAUCUGUGCACACAACCUCUCUCCAGCUGUGCUUUGCAAGGAGGGUGGCGCCAAAUUUGAUGUCGCCUUCCAUCCAACUGGCAUAGGUUAGCACUGCUAUGGGGCUGUUAGUCAGGCUCCUCAUCUUUUGCAUUGGACCCCUCUUUGAAACCUUGCAAUUUGCGCUUACAGAAUAUAAGUAGAUCUGAGGGUGCCACAGAUGCCGUCCCAACUCAGUACAUGGGAAUUGCUUGUUUUUAAUAUAUAUAUAUAUAAUAUCCAUAGUAGCCAUGCUCAUAUUUCAUUUUCGGAUAAUAAAAAUGAACUUGGCUCAGGGCAUUUCCUGGGGAUUAAUGGCUGGCUGAGGUUAAUGGGCCUUGGCUAUGCUCUGGGCCAUCAACUCCUCCCAGCUGGUCAUUAAUCCGCAGGAAAUACCCAGCACCAAGAUGAUUAUAUACCUUCAUGUGGGUUCUUCUUUCCGAGCAGAAUUCAGGAGCCCUCGGCGCCUGCUGCUUUUAGCCACAGUUAGAGCUUACAGCACUUACAGGCUUCAAAUGUUUGCUGGCAUUUCCGCUUAGUGGCAGCCCAAGAGUGCUGUGCUUCAGAGCUUUUUCAAAGAGCACCUACAGAAUGAGUAGAGAAUGAGCACUCAGCCUGCCGGGCUGCUAGGUGACCUGCUGAUUGAGGCAGCUUUACCAGCAUGGACAACGUCUGGGUAGGAUAGCCUGUGGACCGGAGUUCUGCUUCCUUUGCACGGCGUGCAGACGAAAGCCACACAAGCAAGCUAAAAAAAGCACAGUGAGAUACGUUUUCAUUUGCAAGGAGAGAGUGAGCAGUCCUGGUUUUUAGAUCUUUGGGAGACUUUUGAAUGUUAUGAUGAUCUGACGGGAGCAGAGAGGAAAGGAAAAAGUGGAAGAACAAAGUGUAUCUGUUAUGUACUGAGUUGAAUAGGAUCCAAAAUGUAGCAGUCUGAUUGGUCCUAGAACAAUAGGAUCCAAAAUGCAGCAGUCUGAUUGGUCCUAGAACAAUGCAGCAGCAUGAUUGGUCUGCAGGAGCCACCCAAUCUGGCUCCAGAUGGAAGUGAAUCCACAACCUGAUUGGCCUACAGGAGAAUUCCAGAAUUAGCCAAUCACAUGCAGCCCAUUGUGUAAAUAAUGUAUAUAAAGCAGAUACUCUGAGGGGACUUCCAUUCCUCCUCACCACUAUGAGCUGAAUAAAGAGCAUGAAAUCUACUCUCGACUCUUGAGUAUAUUUCAGUAUCUAAGAUAUACAAAGUCCAACUGAUGGAUUUAAUUUUUAUUUAUUUAUCACAUUUAUAUCCCACCUUUACUCCAAGGUGGCAUACAUGGUUUUCUUCCUAUUUUACCCUCGCAAGAACCCUGUGAAGUAGGUUUGGCUGAGAGACUGUGACUGGCUCAAGGUUACCCAGUGAGGACUCACCCACACCUCCCUUGGUCUGGCAAUUUCUUCUGUUUGCCCCAUGAUUUCUAGACACGGGUCCGGGAGGUGAGUUAUUUGACCCACUUCCUUCCCAUAGCUGUCACCUUUUCCCUUUUCUUGUGAGGAAUCCUAUUCGGAAUAAGGGAAUUUCCCUUUAAAAAGGGGAAACGUUGACAGCUAUGCUCCUUCCCUGGAAAAGCCCACUGAUUACUGCUGAAUCGGAACAAAACAUCAAUCUGCAGAAACCCCAAUUGAUAUUUGUUCUGAUUCAUCCUUAAAUUGUGGGUUUUCCUGGGGAAAAGUAGAGGGACAAAGAAAAAACUUUGAACUCUUGUCUCUCAGGCACCAGUCCAACACUCUAACCACUACACAAUGUUGACUCUCACACCAUACUGAUAUCAAUCCCAUUAAUAUCACUGAGUCCUACUCUAACUAAAGUUGGAUGCAACUCUGUGUCCAAAGCAAAAAGAGCAAUUUCUCCCUGCAUCAAUACAAUAUUCAGGUCUUAUGUCAAGCCACCUCCACACCUUACAUUUCAAGCACUCUUAUACCACUUUAAUAUAAUAAUACAUAACAAAUAAAUAUUCAAAUGUCUUAAUCAUCUGCUCAAGAAUUUUCCAGGGCAACGUACAGAAAUGUCAAACAUACAGAGUUUAAAACUGCACAAUAAAACAAUUAAUCCAUAGACAUUAAAAACACACCCCAGAAAAUUAUAAUCAAUACGGGCAAUUAACCAACAACAAAUCAAGAACUAAUGUUCAGUAGAAACAACCCAUUGCAUGCCAUGGAAUGUCUGAGAGUAGAGCAGAGUUUUAACUUGACACUGAACAUAUAGUAAAAUUGGUGCUAGAUGAGUCUUGCUGGAGAAAGCAAAACAUAGAUGAAGGGCCACAACCAAAAUGGCCCUCCUCCUUAUUGCCAGUCCUUGAAUCUUGAAACAAAUGUUUAUGUGCACUGGUGAGACUGGUAAUUCUGGACCCCAGGUUCCCAUUACCAGAACAUGCCGCAGUUAGCCUCAGCCUUGCACCAUUCCUUUCCCUCCCUGAAAGGAGACAAUCAAUUUCCAGGCAUUUUUUGCAAAAAGCAAAAGUUUCCCAUGUUGAUGGAACACAGAAAAGUGGUCCAUGCAAGCCACAGUUGCCUGUUUUGUGGUGGGAAACUUCAGCUCUGUAGACAAAUGAUGGAGAUGGGGGGGGUGAGCCAGAGGGGAGUCCAUUGACUUCACCCCUUCGGUCACAUCACAGCUACAGUUCUGCACAUGUUGCAGAGGCAACUUGAGAAGCGGGGAUCUUGCCAUCCUCAGAGCUACUCCCUGCACGGUCGGGGCUGCAGGACAAGUGAGAUCAUCCCCACUCUCUCCACCCAAGCAAUUUCCAUAGCAUGCUUUUAAAUGCCUGAACAGAGCUUAUGGAUUUGUUACAAAUUGUGGCCGGAAGCUUCAGAUUUCCUCCACUUACAUGCAAAGGGAGAUAGGAGCAUGCAAGCCUGAGGCUUGCCAUGACACAGUCAUACAAUACUAAAUCAUGGUUUUGUGUUCUGUCUGAAUUUAAACCCCACACACAUCUUUAAAACCAACAAAUCUGAAUAAAGCCUGAAUUCUUGUCUAGAAGCACAGAAAUGGAAUAAUGCUUUUUUUUAAUCCAAUUUUUUACACCAGGGUUUAGCAACUCUUUUCUAUUAAUGCUUUUACUGCUGUGCACUUUCAGUCACUAGCAUGGUGUGUGUGUGUGUGUGUGUGUGUGUGUGUUGUUUGCUUUGGACUGGCAACCUGAAAAGGAAAAAGUUGCUUUUAUUUUUACCUCUCUGAUGAUCAAGCAUUACUCUAUUAAGAGAUAAUAUUUGUAAACGAGUGGAUGAAUGCACAGCCUCAGAAACAGCAGGCUUUUUCCUCAGUACAGACGUUUCUGGUGAUGUGAGAAAAUGAUCCAAUGUCAUCUCUAGGCUAAGCAAGCAGGACAGAAGAAGGGCAAUGCCUUACUUCUAUAAAUGCUUGUGUUCACCAAUAUCAUGGUCCUCACUAUGAAAUCAAGGCCUUACAAAAACGUCUGCCCAAACAAGGUUGCUUUAACUUGGGCUCCAUCAUGCCACUUUUAACAGUCAUAGAUUCCCCUCAAGAAUCCUAGGGAGCAUAGUUUGUUAUGAGUGUUGAAAGUUGUUAGAAAACCCAUAGUCCCCUCACAGACCUACUAUUCCCAGAGUUCCCUGGGAGAAGGAAUUGAUAGCUGCCCAUUUUGAGAAACAGAUGCUGAACUUGAUGGACCUUUAGUCCUUUUAGCAGGACUCUUCUUAAGUUGUUUUGGACCUCCCAGUGUAAAAAUUGCAGACACAGAGGAAUGGAAGCCUUUUCCAGACUAUUCAAAGAAACAUUAUAGUAUGAUGAAUUCGUGAGCAGGAUACGAACUAUGAGCAACAGCAGGAAUUAGAGGUUACUGUAUCAUUGUCAUGAUACAAAAGAUAUAAGAUAGGGUGCAGCAAAGGGGAGAAAUAAAAAACACAAUUGAAAAUGGGAUGAGAGGUUGAACCCCCAAAGAGAAAACUCUAUUAUGUAUUGGAAUGUAUAUGUGAUUUUUUUUUUGAAAAUUUAAUAAAAUAUAAUGGGGAGGGGGGGAUGCAGACAAAACAGUGGUGCAAUCCAUUUAAUGGCAGGAUUUUUUUAAAAAAAGCAUAGUUAUUGUUUUGUUUUAAAGCAUAGAAAAUUAAAAAAAUGUUUAAUCUUGCCUUAGAUCACCUAUCUUGACUAGCGUUGAGGAAGAAACCCAUAAGUGAAUUAGCUGGUUCAAGGAAGGAAGAUGGGUGAAUGACUUGCCAUCUCUAAAAGGAGAAUUAUAAACAGAACCUGAGGCUAGAAAGGUCUUGUUUUCCUCAAGUUAUCUAUAAUUUAGGAUCCUCCUCCAAUUCCCACCAGGUCCCUCGGAACAUAUUUAUUUAGCUACGCCAAGCUUGGCUGCUAGGUAAUAAACACAGUUUGUGAACUGUGGAUGUCAGAGGCUCAGAUCUCCGAAUAAAGAACACUUCCUCUUGUAAUUAAACUUCAGAUGGGUCAGUUUACCUUCCUGGCCUUGUAAGCAGCGCAACUUGACUUCUGUCACACUCCACAUCUUUCUAAAGAAUGACCUUUUGUUCUUCCUGGCAUUUAAUGAACUGUUAAAAUAAGACCUGGCAUAAAGGGGGCAGUUGUAUAACAUUGUGCAUCCAGGCAGCACUUAAUAACAGCCUCAACGAGAAAAAUAAGUAAAUACAGAACCCAUCACCUGCCUUGUUUUCACACAGGUUCACAACAUAUAAGAAACAAUAACUUUUCACAUCCGUUUAGGCAGUUUAGGGCAUCUAUGGCCAACAUGGUUGUAGUCCUAGAGUGUGCCUCUUUUCUGUAAAAAAUAUUCCGUUAUGAAAUGACUAACCCACAUCACAAAAUGACAGGCUCAUAUUUACUUGUUUGCCAUAUUAAAGAAAUGAUCACUAAAUAUUUCGGUUGUCAAAUAUGAUUCAUAAAGAAUAUGUGCGGGAAAGGGGUGCCAAAUUUCUAAUAUUGAGAAACAUUCACAUAGUCGCUCCAAAUUUUGAAUAAGUUCAAUUCAAGGCUCCGCCAUCUGGACCUGGGGAAAUGGGCAAGUACAUUGAGCCACACUACUAGAUGCUCACAAUUGACCUCAGGGGUGAGGAACAUCAGGCCUGGGACCCAAAUGCAUCUCUAGAUCAUUCUUGGGACUCUCUCCAGGCUGCACACCCUCUAAAGCCACUACCACGACCCCUCGGUGGUCCUGUUUUGCACCACCCUUGAGGUUUUUUUGCCCGGCUGGGAUGCAUUCUUAAACAUUAGGAAGAACUUCCUGACAGUAAGAGCUGUUCGACAGUGGAAUUUGCUGCCAAGGAGUGUGGUGGAGUCUCCUUCUUUGGAGGUCUUUAAGCAGAGGCUUGACAACCAUAUGUCAGGAGUGCUCUGAUGGUGUUUCCUGCUUGGCAGGGGGUUGGACUCGAUGGCCCUUGUGGUCUCUUCCAACUCUAUGAUUCUAUGAUUCUAUGAUUCUAACUCUCACAAUACACCUUGCUAGUCAGGAAGGAAGGCAGAUAGGCUUGUGUGUUGCUGUAGAAACUAACCUACUGUACAAACAUAAAUUUUAUGGUUGUUGAUCCACCCAAUUUUUGUCUCUCGCUCCGCCUAUCACUGACAUGCUGCCCACAAGGAAACGCAGCUGCGCUGUAGCCCGGGGCAUCUCACUUUACCCUGUAGCAUAACACAAGCAGGGAAGCCGGUUUUAGCAUUCUGGCACAGCUUCCCACCCCCCUCUCCUCUCCGUCAAAUCCAAUCCAAAUGUUUUCCCUUUGCUUAUACUCUUGAGCUCUUUAUAUCUGUCAUUCAUGGCUGUGCCGGUUUCUCUGUUUAGCAGCAACAUGCUGUGGGCCUUCCUUGGGUCAAUAAGAAAGCCUCUGAUCUUUGAAGUGCCACUGAGCGUAAGAUCUGAAUGCGGGAACCAGCACAGCAGAAGCUGGCAGGUCUGGGGAGACCCUGUUAUAGGUGUGUGUGUGUGUAUGAGAGAGAGAGAGAGAGAGAGAAGGCUUAUAUGGUUUUUUCCCACCUCCAUGUGCAUAGGGAACAAUCCAUAAACUCAGAGGCAUAGCCACAGUCUGGUACUGCUGGCUGUGAUUUGAAACACUAACUCAAGCACAGAAUGCAAUAUCUCAUUGCCUUGCUAUAGUCUAUAGGUAAAGGUAAAGGACCCCUGGACGGUUAAGUCCAGUCAAAGGUGACUAUAUGGUUGCAGCGCUCAUCUCGCUUUCAGGCUGAAGAAGCUGGCGUUUGUCCACAGAAAGCUUUCCGGGUCAUGUGGACAGCAUGACUAAACCGCUUCUGGCGCAACGGGACACCAUGGUGGAAACCAGAGUGCACAGAAACGCCGUUUACUUUCCUGCCGCAGUGGUAACUAUUUAUCUACUUGUACUGGCGUGCUUUUGAACUGUUGGGUUGGCAGGAUCUGGGACAGAGCACCGGGAGCUCACCCCGUUGUGCGGAUUCAAACUUCCAACCUUCUGGUUGACAAGCCCAAGUGGCUCAGUGGUUUAGACCACUCCAGAAGGUGCGGGGAGAUUAGGAGGGGCUGUUCUGUUUGAUGGCCCCACAAGGCUAGAGAGGGCUGGAGACCACAGAGCUGAUCAGUCCCCACAAUGCAGGGAAUCAGUAUUUCCAUGUGAGGAGGAUGCUUUUUCAACCCAAGGAGUGCAUUUCCCCAUGGAGAACCUACCAAAGGCCACACAAAGGUGGGCACAGCUAAAGACAAAGAUGUGCAGAAAGAUGCUGCAUAGUAGCCUCACAAAAGUCAGAGGAGUGUGUAUAUGUUUGUGUGUUUAAGGAUAUAUUCCAGCCACUCAAAAGCAUUGACUCCCAGUCAAAACGUGGCAGCAGGUGCACUUACUUGUAAGUAAAUAAGCCUGGAAAAGAGGAGAUCGAGAGGAGAUACGAUAGCUGCCGCAUGGGAGAUGGAGCAAGCUUGUUUUCUCCUGCGCUGGAGGGUAGGACUCGAACCAAUGGCUUCAUGUUUGAUAGUGGAACCGUCUCCCUCGGGAGGUUUUGGACUCUCCUUCCUUGGAGGUUUUUAAGCAGAGGUUGGAUGGCCAUCUGUCCUGGAUGCUUUUGCUGAGAUUCCUACAUUGCAGGGGGUUGCACUAGAAAGAUGACCCUUGAUUCUAUGAUUCUAUAUUUAUCAAAGCAGAUUAAUGGUACAGACUCAACACCAGGUCAAUACAGCCCAGGAGCAAUUACAAGGUGGAGAGUUGACGUGGAUGAACCCAGCCUAGGAGCAAGGCCAAAGUUCACAAGGCCAACAUUGGUAACAAGGAAUUCAAGACUGUCCAGGAGCAGUAGAGCUGUCCCAACCAGUUUCCCUGCCCACCCGCCAAGCUUUUAAGCAGAUGUAGGGAGCGUUCACCUACUCACAAGAAUCUCUAUUCCUAUGUGUAAAUUGACUUUAAUUAAUAUAACUCCCUUCCUGAAUUCCACCGUAACUAUCUUCCUCCACCCAUUCAUCCUUAGAGCAAGGCCACUGACCCAUCCAUUUUAUGAGUACACAAGAAUGCAUCACAACUAGCUCUGAAACAAAGCUAGAAGUUCAAAAAUACAGGUUCUUUUAUUUCAAAAAAGUGAUUUGGUUUCAAAAAAGAGGAUUCCAAGUGAAGCUUCCUGGUUCUUGCUAAUGUUGUUUGCUUUGCUCUGCUUCAUUUCCCCCACCCACCCCUUUUUGUUUUAAUGUUUAAGCUGCCAGUUCCCAAAGAGCCUCAUUAAGGGGUUGGAGCCUUGGAAGAACAAAUUAAUUCAGAAAGGUGAUAUUCUAGUUUUGGUGCCUGUCUUUGAGUGUGCGAUGGCAUGGCAGCAAUAACAGGAGAGCGGGAGAGGGAGGGAAAGAGGAGACAGGGGAAAGACCCUUCAUAGAAACCCCGAGAGAUGCACAAAGAGAGGGCAGAGGCAUGCAUUCCUCAGCAAGAAGCCAGAGCCUAAUUAGCAGCCAUGAAAUGAGCAAAGAUGAAGUGAAUAAUCUGCCAGGGAAGUACAGUAUAAGUCCAUUCUGUAAACAUAGGCUGGUGAUUCUCAACGUAGGUGGCAACCUACAUUAGGGCAGUGAAGCGGGGACUUCUUCCUGGAAAUUCCCAUUCAUUUGUGGAUUGGAACAAUAAGUAGAAGGAACAUUAACUCAUCCCCAUAAAAGUGCAGUAGAUGACACUGUGUGUUCCAUCCUUCGCUUGAUUCCCAAUGUAUGGAGUCAUUGUGGAAAGUCUGAUUUCCCUAAGGGUUUCCUAAGAAUACAACUUGGAUCAAAGUGUACACUUACACCAAACAAAAUGUUCUACUAAAACUGCAGGAAGCUGUAUCAAAAGCUGCAUAUCUAUAUCAUCUAUCUAUCUAUCUAUCUAUCUAUCUAUCUAUCUAUCAUCUAUCAUCUAUCUUAAAAAGUAGAGACAUCACCUUGCCAACAAAGGUCCGUAUAGUAAAAGCUAUGGUUUUCCCAGUAGUGAUGUAUGGAAGUGAAAGCUGGACCAUAAAGAAAGCUGAUCGCCAAAGAAUUGAUGCUUUUAAAUUAUGGUGCUGGAGGAGACUCUUGAGAGUCCCAUGGACUGCAAGAAGAUCAAACCUCUCCAUUCUUAAGGAAAUCAGCCCUGAGUGCUCAUUGGAAGGACAGAUCCUGAAGCUGAGACUCCAAUACUUUGGCCACCUCAUGAGAAGAAAAGACUCCCUGGAAAAGACCCUGAUGUUGGGAAAGAUGGAGGGCACAAGGAGAAGGGGACGACAGAGGAUGAGAUGGUUGGAUAGUGUUCUCGAAGCUACCAGCAUGAGUUUGACCAAACUGCGGGAGGCAGUGGAAGACAAAAGUGCCUGGUGCGCUCUGGUCCAUGGGGUCACGAAGAGUUGGACACGACUAAACGACUAAACAACAACAACAAUCUAUCUAUCUAUAGUGAAAUCAGUCGCAUGUUUAUUAAGCAAAUGUUACAUUUUGCAAAUUCGCUAUCAGAGCAAUGCUGGUUCUUGUGAUACUGAACUGAUAUUAAAAGCAGGCAGCCAAUCUUGUUCAGUCCCACAAUAGUGCUAUUUUAUGCCAACAACACCAGUUACUCCUCACAUCCCGAUGCAGUGCAAAUGUGAGAACAUACACAACAGCACAGUGCUUUUGCAUCAUUUACAGCACAAUCCUAUACAUACAUAAUACUAUUCUCAGCUUAAGUGUGUAAAACCAAAAGCUGCAGUCCCAGUCUCAUCUUCUCAGAAGUCUCAUUGAACAACCCCAGGUCAGUGGGGUUGGGAUCCCGGCCUAAGACUACCAAACCUAUGAUGCAGUGCAUAUCUAAACAGAAACAUGCACACAAUACUUAAAUUCAAGAUCACAAUUGAGAAAAAAACAGUGAAAAUAAUUUCCCCCAAAAAAAUAGGCAAUAGAAAGGGAGCCGGGCAAAUAAAAUUGGAAAUGGAUUUUUCUUUCUAAUGCUGGCAGACAAAUCUUUGGCCUUAUUGGGGUGGUGGGUGGGUGACAAAGUACAACGGCAUUGUCUCUGCAUACCUGAAAACCUGCGAAACCCACACAAAUACACCAAAGUGCCAAAAUUUUUAUCUUUUCAGCAGCAGGUGAAAUCCUCAUUCUUUGCCCACGCUUUUCAGCUUUUCUUAGUUUGUGUUCUCAUCCUCCCGCCUCUUGCAUUUUUAGAAGUACGUGUGGUUUUAAUGUUUAACGCAGGUAUAAAUAGUAGGAAGAAAAGGAAAUGCAGGCAGGCACAUUUUGAGGCCCAAUCUGUGUGCAUAACUAGCAAUCUCCAUGUAAUUUGAAGAAAAUAAGCUUAAAUCAUAGAGGAGUUUGAGUAAGUUAUUGAUAUUGCCAGAGAAAGAGAAGUGGGGGAGAGGCUGUGAUUCACCGACACUUUCCCACUUGGUGGGCUCUUUUUUUUGUAAGAUGUUUUCUAUGUGUCUCAAUCCCACUGCUGGGGAAUCACACGUGCUGUGUGAUUUGUAUGCGUGGUUCCCCAUCCAGCUAGGGAUGCACACACAGAAGUCUACUUACAUGUGCAUAUGGCCCAAAGGUGCAUCCAGGGAGAGAUGCUUUUGGUUUUCAUUCAUUUUGGAAAGCACAGAGUCCAAUAGAUGAAUCUCUUGGUGGUGGUGGUUGAUUUUUUGUAUGUGUGUGUCUGUGCAAGUCCCACAAUAUGAAGAGAUCUUGCUUUGCAUACCUUAAGGAGCAGGAGCAGAGUUGGGGGUGGGAAUCGAGAGUGGACAGAGAAAAAUGGUCACAAGCAAGAUACGUAUUAAUGAAAAAUAUUUGUCCUCCUGCAAGCAGGAGCAUUGGGAUGCAAAUGAGACAGCUGCGUUCUUUAAUUGCAGCUGGAUUAAUAAAAUGUAAUUUUUACAACCCAUUUGCAACAGACCGCUGGGGAAUACAUUUUAUUACCACUCUGGGUGUCUUCUAGUUAAUAAAUUCGUGUCUUCUGAGCAUAAGCGUUUGGCUUCAAAUCCCAGAUACAAGUUUAUUAAAAUUGUAAUAGUUCUUGGAGACUAUAAAAUGAAAUGAAGUGCACAAAAUGUACAUUUCCAGCACAUGGCUCUCAAGCCAUUUUUUACAUGACUAAUUUCCAUGUUUCUGGCCUUGGCAGUGUGGUGUGGUUGAAUUUAAAUAAUAAAUAUUUAACCAGCCACAGAUAUUGGUCUACGUGCAUUUCAAAUGUGGGCCGUUUUAGCCCCCUUUGCAAUCUUAUUUAAGGUUUACAUUUCAUAGAAUCAAAGAAUUGUAGAGUUGGAAGAAAUCUGAGGGUCAUCUAGUCCAAACCCCUGCAAUGCAGGAAUCUUAGGAUGUGGUGGUUCUCUGGUUCAGCCAGCAUAAAUCCUCAAGCCCUGACUCAACCAGAGAUAUGCUGCCCCAAAUCCUUCAUCCUGGCUUAGCUGAAACUCAGGGGGCUGAGUUGUGCCCUGGAAAAGGAGUGUUCCAGGGGCGUGGUUGAGCCAGGACCAGAGGAGGGAAACUUAGGUUGGUUGGAUACUGUGUGCAUUCAGUUUGGUCAUGUUGGUAUAAGUUAAGCUGGCAAUGUUUGGGAAGCUGAAGAAGCUUGAUCUUCACUCAGUAGAACAACGUUGGCAAAGUGUUUCCUAAGUUUUAUUGACAGAAGUCUGAUAGAGAGUCAUGUUGAACACAUGGAAAUGUUCACCGCCUUCUGCUCUGGUAGGUUUCUGCAGUGCAUAGGCUUUCUUCCACACAUGCACAGUAUCUGUCAUAAAGAUGAGCAUUUCCUUAAUAAUGGAUAUGUUCUUGUUUGAUUGGGAUGCGGGUGGCGCUGGGGGUAAAACCUCAGCGCCUAGGACUUGCCGAUCGCAUGGUCGGCGGUUUGAAUCCUCGUGACGGGGUGAGCUCCCGUCGUUCAGUCCCAGCUCCUGCCCACCUAGCAGUUCGAAAGCACCCUUAAGUGCAAGUAGAUAAAUAGGUACCGCUUUAUAGCGGGAAGGUAAACGGCGUUUCCGUGUGCUGCGCUGGUGCCGGUUCGCCAGAGCAGCCACGUGACCCGGAAGUGUCUGCGGACAGCGCUGGCUCCCGGCCUCUAGAGUGAGAUGAGCGCACAACCCUAGAGUCCGUCAAGACUGGCCCGUACGGGCAGGGGUACCUUUACCUUUACCUUUCUCUUGUUCGAUAUUUGCAGAGCUUUAGACUCUAAAGUACAUCUUGGUGUACAAACAUAAUUAGUGCCUUCCUACUGACAGAGGAAGAAGAUAGCUAUACUUUGCUAAUUUCUUUAAGAUGAGCCAGUCAAUAGUUUCUUCAUAUUGAUUGACACACAUCUCCUCUAACCUUUACUCAGGAGCUCACUUCAAUUAAUUAUAGCAUCUUGGUGCUAUUUUGUCCUUUGCAAUAUUCUUGCCAAUGAUUCUUUUGCAUUCAACCCUUGAUCCUGAUGUUUACUGGUAUUCAUUUCCUGGUAUUUGAACAGAAAUGGUUCAUAGUCCAGUUCCCGGCAUUGCCUGCUGGUCUGGGGAAAACACCUGUCUAAAACUCUGAAACCCUGCCAAUCAGUGUGGGCAGUACUAAGCUAGGUGGGUGGUCUGACUUUGUAGAAGAUAUCUUCUUGUAGUGGUCUUUUGUGUUCCAACCAAAUGGAUAUUGGACAGUGUCGGUAUGUGCAGGAGAAUUUAAUACCCCACUUAGAAGGUACCACUAUGUUUUGAUGUGAGGAGAAGGUGCGUGGACUUUCCUCCUGUGACUAUGUCUUGCCAAAUGCAAUGUGGUUCUUUUGUUUAUGAGAUUCAGAGGCACUGCAAACACAAGUGAGUGAGACGAUUAAAGAUUUUAUUCUAAACAGCAAACAUUAAAUACAUUAUCAAGCAAGCCCUUCAAUCUGCCACUUGGCAGCCCUCAAGAAGUCGUGAAGCGACUCCCCCAGGUAGCCUUAGUUUGCACAUAAAUGAUCGAUCAGUCCGUGUGUGAGCUUCUCAAAAACUAUGCCCAACACCAUCCGAUUUAUAGAUAGCUAACCUGUGUGGUUUGCCUGGCUGCCUACAUGCUACUAGCUACAUACAGAUUAGCCACCUCUCCCAAUGCUUCACUUUCUUCAAACAAUGUCCAACAUCAAAAGAAGGUACCCAACAAUAUCACUUCCUUCCAGCAGAUUAGAGGCAUUAAAGGCUGCUCUUCAGCCAUCAAAGAGCUUAACAAGAGAUAGAGAUGGGGAAGCAAACAGAGGCAGGAAAGCCAGGAGACCAUGUUAGAUCACCAUCUCCUCGAAAUACAAAUAUCUUCUGGCUAAAUUGCCCAUACAGUCUAGAAGGCACUGCUUGACACAACCAGGAUGACACAGUGAAGGGCUUCAUGCAUCAUACUUGGAGAGGACCUACCAAUGCCUCACAGUGGCUUAUCACGUCCAUUGGCUUGUAAAGGUAAAAGUAAAUGACCUCUGACAGUUAAGUCCAGUCGUGAACGGCUCUGGGGUUGCGGUGCUCGUCUCGCUUUACAGGCCGAGGGAGCCGGCAUUUGCUUUCGCAAACAGUUUUUUCUGGGUCAUGUGGCCAGCAUGACUAAGCUGCUUCUGGUGAAACCAGAGCAGCGCACGGAAAUGGUGUUUACCUUCCCAUCAGAGCGGUACCUAUUUAUCUACUUGCACUUUUUUGGUGUGCUUUUGAACUGCUAGGUUGGCAGGAGCAGGGACAAAGCAAGCCACCACAUCUUUCCCAGGAGAGAUGCGGGGCUCGGGCACGCUGCAGGCCCCGCGGUGAGUGUAGCCCAGCAUUUUGUCACCCCCCCUCAGUGGUGACACCUGGGGCAGACCGCACCCACCGCACCCCCCUUCCUCCACCCCUAGCAAGAGCAUGUCCCUUCUGCUGGCAGGUUGAUCCUUCCCAGGUGCACUACAUAUGCAAAAACAGUUAAAAUAUUUGCAUAUAUAAAAGCAGUUUUUAAAAAACUACUACAUGCUUUUAAAAAAUAAACGAUUGUAUGUAUAAAAGAAUUGCAAAUAAAUCCAUGUAAGGACCUCCACUUAGAGACAAAAAAAAUCUCUUUUGAAGCCUUAUUGAAAGAGCAAAGGUCAAAUUCCUCAAGAAGUCAGCACCACACUCACUUCCCCUCUCAUCUCGUUCACAGACAAUGCUGCUUAUUCUUGAGAUACUUGGAAGACAUGGAUUGGCCUGACCUAGUGCUUUGCAGAAGAGGCCUCUAAGUAAGGUAAUGAUGGAGCUAAGGCUUAUUUUAUAAGUGGUAUGUUGGGGCUAUGUGCUCCUACUUGAAUCCUGUGCUAUCCGACUUGGAAGCCCCAGAUCCUAUUACGUGAGCCAUGAACAUGCGCCAUGCUUGAUGCGGAACACUCUCGCAUGAUGAGGUUCACCUGGCACCCUCAUUAACCUCUUUAGGUAAGAACUCAUCUCUUCGCCCAGGCAUUCAUGUUUAUUUGCUUUGCUGGUAUUUGACGCAACUUAUGUGCACUUAACUCGUUUGCAUUCAGCUUUAUGCGCUUGGGGAGGGGGGAGUAAAGGCGGAUGGAAAGGGGGCUGGCAUUCAGGAAUAAAGACAUUGGCUAUGCUACCCACCACUGAACUGAAUCUGUUUUGACUAUAUACAAUUUUGGCUUCACACAAUAUCCCCAGAUGUAGCCUUCGUGUAAGCUGAGAGUCACCUGCUGUUUGACUGAGUUAUUGUAUGACUUUUAUUGUACUGUGCUGCUCUUUUUUCUGAUUUUAUGUCAUGCUUUAUGCUUUUAAAAUUUUGUCAGUCACUUGGAGAGUUGUUGCUUGAAUUAUUAUUAUUAUUAUUAUUAUUAUUAUUGACAAUGACUUCUUAGAGACAUUUAUUACUUCUCAUAUUGUGGGGUGGAAACUUAUAAGGCAGAAAGCUAAGCUCUGGUGAUAUUUGGUGAUCCUUGGUUCAAAAGUUCGGAAUCUAUGCUCUUCAGUACACCCCACACAGAUGUUUAUGGCACCUCUUUAGUGAGGGAAAUGCACUCCCUGUAUGCUCAGAGGCAUUGUGUUCUACAACUAGCUUGUGGAGAGACCCCACCACCACCAAAAUGACCCCAAGAAACCCCUGAUAUAAGAAUGAGCCCAGGCUGAUGGGAAGCUGCUUUUGAACAAGACAUUAGUUUAUGCACUGGUCUCAGAUUGGAAGAUUUAUUUACAAUUGGUACCAAGUGCAUGUUAAACCGUGUGGCAUAACCAUGUGAUUUCAAGAUACUGCGGAUUGUGGAGAUACUUUGGGGCAAUUGUGGUUGUCUUAGACACAUGGGAAACCACAAGUCUCCUUGUCCUUCUUGAUAUUGCAAGGCAUUCCUUCUCUGUGUGCAGCAUGCUGCAAACUUUCAGACUGGCGGGUGUAGCUUGGCUUUUGGUCCAUCUCAGCCUGUCAUUGGACUUGUUCUUAGAUGGCUACCUUCCCAAGAAAACAGAUGCUCCUUGUUGCUUGCAUUGCUCUGAAGCACUUUGUACUGCAUGCCAGUGGAUGACAAAUGUCAGUGGUGACAGUAAUCGCUUCCAUGUAUCCUGAACACAGAUUUUCCUUAGAGUCUAAGGCAGUUUGCAAGCUGCUCCUCUACAUCCUGCUAUAGCAGAGCUUGUACAUUGCCCUAACCCAUGGGUAGGCAAUCUAAAGCCCAGGGGCCAGAUCCAGCCAAAUCGCCUUCUAAAUCCGGCCUGCAGACGGUCUGGGAAUCAGCAUGUUUUCACAUGAGUAGAAUGUGCCCUUUUAUUUAAAAUGUCUCUCUGGGUUAUUUGUGGGGCUUGCCUGGUGUUUUUAUACGAGUAGAAUGUGUGCUUUUAUUUAAAAUGCAUCUCUGGGUUAUUUGUGGGGCAUAGGAAUUUGUUCAUCCCCCCCAAAAAAAAAAAAUAUAGUCCUGCCUCCCACAUGGUCUGAGGGACAGUGGACCAGCUCCCUGCUGAAAAAGUUUGCUGACCGCUGCCUAACCCAUGUUGUGGAACUCCCAGUGUAUGGAAGUUCACCAAAUUACCCCUUCCCUUCCUUUUAGGAUGCUCAUUUUCGUGGCAUAGGCUAAUUUCUGGAAUCAGAGAUCUGAACACAAUUUCUUCCCAGUUUCUCAGUUGCAUGUUUCAAUUGGAUGGUUUCAAGGUCUUUGGACAGCAUGUUUGGAUGGAAUAGUUUGAACAGGUUUGAUGAAUUGAUUGCAUUUAAUUAUUUUUGUCAAUAUGGUUGAAAUCCAGUGAGAAGGUAGGUACUUUCCUUUGCAAUUUUCAGAGUGAUAGCACCAUAUCAGUGCUGCAUCUUUGGGGAUGUUUAGAACCAGGUCCAUGCCGAGAUUGUCUGAUGCCCAGGGUGGGAGUCUUGUUAGAAUAAAGUUAUAAACUAAAACAACGUAAGUCUGCCAGGCCCAUGACAGUCCCCCCCCCCCGACUUAGACCUUCGAGGCCUGGGGUAAGUGUACCCAGCUCCCCCCACCCUGUCUGCACAGGCCUGGUUAGAAUACUGGUGUUUCAAGUCAGUUGCCACUCACAACAGCCUUGAUCAGCAAUACAAACCCAGUGCAGAUUUGGGUUUUAGCCAGAACAGCUCCACACCAGCAAAUUCCGCCAUUGAAAGUUCUGGUUGGCUUUCAAUGCAUUACUGAGCUGAGUUCAAGGUGCAAUCCUGUUCCCCCAGAAGUCAGCAUGAAGCAAGCUGGUGUAAAUUAAGCCAGCGUAAUGUUACACCAGACCCAAACCCUGUUCAGCAAGGGGACGGCUGCUGCUGCUGCUGCUGCAUUGCCCAAGCUUGGCAGUGGGGAAACAAGCCUUUAAAGUAGUGUUUUGUGCCAGGAUUCCAGGUCACAUGACUGAGUUGAAUGAGCUUAGGCUGCUCCUAUCCCCAAAAUGUCUUUUCUUGGGUUAGGGGACUUACAGCAGCCUUGGCUCAGCUAACUGAGCCCUGGCUUACCUGGAAUGACCAAGUUAUGCUGGUCCAAGGCUGGAGACUUAACACUGGCUGAGCCUGACUGGGCUGGGCAUUGAUUGGCUGAGCCAGAGAUCCACUACAUCUAAACUGCUCAUUCCAGCAGAUUGUGCCAUAGGAAUUCUCCCUUAGUCAAUAAAGCCCUAAACAGCUGAAGACCAGGUUACCUAUAGGACCAACAUGCCCCUUAUACACCAGCCAGAUCAUUCCAACCAUCUGGUGAAGCCCACCUGACUUUCCGACAGUUGUUUCAGAUUUGUUUAGUGUCUAUGCAGACCAAGGUCUUUAGUGUCUUGGCACCAGUACAGUAAUAGGACACUGUUCCUAUUGAAAUCAGGCACCCAUAACUCUGAUAUUUUGCCCCCUGUUGAAAACAUUUCUGCCUCGCCAAGCAGUUUUAAAGCAUUGGUGUGGUUUUGCAUCUAUCAUUUGUUUUGUAUUUUAUGAUUUCACAAUAUAAAUCCAUUUUAAUGUUUGUGUUUCACAUCACCAUGCUAUAUUUUUUUUGCAUGAGCAAAUACCGGUACUCCUAUGAAUAAAAAUAAAACGAAUCAUCUGGGCCAAGGUCAUAACGCCAAUUCCGGUCACCAGAUAAGUAAGUGUCAAAAACAAACUAGGUUCGGCACUGAGCUGUGAAGAUGACAUAGAGUUAAUUCUGGAGUGAGUCUGCAGAAAAUUUACUCAAGUCCCAUUAUCAGCAUGUCAGUAAGGAUGCUUAAGGGAUUCAAUAUUUGCUACUUUUGAUAGGAAGUGAUCUGCACCUUAGCCGCAAAAUCUAUGUGUGCAUCAGAUUUUAUAAUUUUCCAUUGGUUGCAACACAACUCUUGCUGGAGGCGGAAUCUCAGAAUGCAUUCAAAAAUACAGAUUUUGAGAUAGAACACUUUGGGAGAAUAUAUACUCAAAACUUUAAUUGUGAAUCUUGCUGCAGUGUGUGUGUGUGUGUGUGUGUGUGUGUGUGUAGGUAGGUAGAUCAGCAUGAUAACAGGAUGGAAUUGAGCUAUGAGCAGGCAUGCAAAAAUUACCUAGUCUGAAAAUAGACUGCUUGGAUCACCCUACCUAUCAGUUUUGUUCGCCAUAUGGAUUGGCUGUGGGAAUUUUAUUUCAAUAGGGAAGAAAGAUUCCUGUAUGCAAUGUUUUUUCAUGUAUUUUGCAGUAGCUGUUAAAUUCAAUGAAAGGAGAUAAAACUCAGGAGACCAUUUGGUUAUAGCCACAUUAAGAGGAAAAACACACAACUAUAUUAAAUCCAAUUUGAUUCUUGCUUUGAAACACAUGUAAAGAAAUGACAAUCUUUGUGGAAGCUUAAAUUACUGCUAACUAAUCAACACCACUUAGUGACUUGCUAACACUGUGUGUGAUUUCUAAUUACUUCUGUAGUUUGUCAUUGUUUAACACAAUCAAAGCUAAUUGACCAGAAAUUUUUUUUUUUAGGUGAUAUUGUUGUAGGCUGCAGCGAUGUUUUUAGUGUUAUUGUUCCACUUUCUUUUAAGCACCCCAACCUUCUCUGCAUCAUUAAAUCUUAAAUUGGACUUUGAAAAGAAGUGUAUUUUAUUACAAUUAUCAAAUGGAAAGGAAUGUUCAUUCCAUGGUAAAAAAAAAUAUACCAGAAGGGUCUUUAUUGCCAUUCUUUGCAGGUCAACGGUUUUUAAAAAGGGAAAUUUGAUUCAAAAGACAUAUUCUCAUUUAUACUACAGUAGUUAUAGAAGUCAAAGGCAAGAGCAGGAACUAGUGUUAAGUGGGCAUUGCUGCUUUUCCCUUUCAGUGGAAAAUCUUAACGUCUAAGAGAAAAUUAAUGAUAAUGUAGAACUAUUAGUGGAUUGUGCAAAUAUGUCUUUGGUGAGUAAUCUGUAGUCAUUUUAUCUUGUCCUACAUAUUAUGAAAUAUGAAAUCUAUUUUUUCUGCAUUUACCUAUUUUUACAAAUUUUCUUUCUCUUCCUUUCCCUUCUUCCUAUGUGGAAAGAGAGGUCUUUGGAGCUGGGGUAUAGGUCAACACAGGGCCACAUUUAGGUUUGAUGAGGCCCUAAACUACUGAAGGUAAUGGGGCCCUUUAUAUGUCCAGCUGUUCUUUCUCAGCAACAAAUUGUUGCUGUUUUUUGUGUGGAAUAUAUGCUAUAUGGUAAUUUAUGGACCUAAUAGGUAUCUAAAGCCAUUUGCACAUAACAAAUAGGAGCCUACACAACACAAAACACUGUUGCUGUAUGUAGGUUUUAUUUGAUUUGUUUUUUAUCUUAUAUUUUGGAAAUGUACAUCCAGGUUUUUUUCCUUUAAAUUUUUUGGGGGAGCCCAAGAGAGUGGGGCCCAAAGCUAUAGCUUGUUUAGCUUAUAUAUACAUCUGGCACUGGGUGGACAUGUAGUAUCUGGAACGGAGGAAACAACCACAGCACAGUGGUAGAGCAUAUGCACUCCAUGCAGAAAAUCCCAGCUUCAUGCCCAUUUGAAAAGACUGUUUACCAGGUGAUGAGAAAGAUCCUGGAGAUUCCGUGCUAGCCAGAGUUAGCCCUACUGAGUUAGAUGGACAAAUAGUCAUGUUUCAUGCCCUGGAUCAAUUGUUCUUCAAGCACAGAGCCAUUGAGCUUAAUGGCAGGGACAAACGCGGCAGGCAGAAGGUGCACUCUACUGACCAGUGAAAAGCAGCAGAUGUUGGCAAAGCAGAGUAGUGUGCUGUGGUUCAUCUGGUUUCCCAAUGUGGAUGGCAUUGCCGAUAACCAAGAUGGAGUGGGGUGAAAAGCCAGGGAGGUCAGUGUGGCGAGGGUGCAGUGGCAGAGCUAAUCCAAUAUCCCUGCCGCUGCAGCCACACAGCACUGACCUCCCCUCUGUGUUUACUCUUCUAGUCAGUUGCUGGCAGUGACCUCUGCAGUGGGACGCCAGGUGAGCAACUUACCUGCCUGCUGGCCAUUACCGGUCAAGAGUUAAUGUACCUUAUGAACCUUGAAUGCUGGGAUAGCUCAGUCGGUAGAGCAUGAGGUGCUGAAUCUUAGAGUCAUGGGGUUAAGCCCACGUUUUGCAAAAGAUUCCUGCAUUGCAGGGGGUUGGAUUAGAUGAUCCUCACAGUCCCUUCAAACUCUACAAUUCUAUGGUUCUAUGAUUCUAUGACUACCUGACUCUGUAUGCUCGAUGUUAAUCACUGAUGGGGCACAUUUGGGAGUUCCCCAUGCCCCUGAAGUUUGGCUGGGACUAGGGACCAAUAUUUUAGUGUGCAACUCCCCAUUGGAAGAAGUCUGACAGGAACCACCCCUGCCUUCUUGUAGGCAUCUUCUGAAAACUGCAUUGUUUAUUUUCUUUUUCUUUCUUUCUUUUUUUAAAAUAUUUUUAUUAGUAAUUUCAACAUAACAUUUUAUCAAAAAGCAUAUCAUCCUUAAAUCCCCCCUAUUUUUCCCUCCCUCCUCCCCAAAAUAUAGCCCCCCUCCCCUACUCCCCCAGACUUCCCUCAGCUCCUCUCUCUGGUUUAUCAACAUAUGUUAUUUUCUGCAUGUUACAAAACUGUACAGAUCCUUAAUUUAUCUAUCUAGAUGUUAUCAAUAAGAAGUUUGUGAAUGUUUAUUCAAAACCUGCCAAGGAGUCCAGUUCAUUUUGUUGUUUCUUUAAAUACUUUGUAAAGGGUUCCCAUUCAUCUUUAAAAUCACAGUUAUCCUUAUCAUGUAGUUUGUGUGUCAGUUUUGCCAAUUCUGCGUAGUCCAUCAAUUUUUCUUGCCACAGUUCUUUGGUUGGGAUUUCCUCAUUCUUCCAUCCUUGUGCUAUUAAGACUCUUGCCGCCAUUGUCACAUACAUAGAGAUAUUUUUGAAAACUGCAUUGUUUAGAUAGACCUUUGUAAUAUGAAUUUCUCUCUUUUUUAAAAAACCAACCAAUGUUUAUUGAUUUUUAACGGUGUUUUUAUGGACCCUUUUACUGAUUUUAUAUUAACUCUGUAUGUUGCAUACCACCUUGAUAUGUUUCUAGGAAAAGUGCAGAUUAUAAGGACUUCAGAAACCAGGUUCCUAGUAUUUGAUCCAAGUCAGGCCAAGCUAGAAGUUUCAUACUCUCUGCCAAGUGCAAGAGCUGAUGCAACAUGCUUUUCCUUUAGUGCCUUAAGAUGGCUCUGGGGCCUGAGUGCAUGCUGUUUAUGAUAGGUUGAGGUCCCAACUUCCAACCAUGAAGUCAGUGGUGCAAUCCCUGGCAGGACUGAAAAACGAAUACAUGUCAUACUCUGGAUUAGGGAUAGGUUCAAAAUAUUUAAUGCCAGUAUAUUUUGCAUGUACUUGUCUCUGGAAGUUAUAUGGGACAAGGAAAAACAGAGAGAGGAAUUUGAUGAAGAGCUUUGUCAAUUGUUGCACCAAUGGAAGUAUUUUGGCUUGCCAGAUGGAAUGAUCCUCUGUACACUGUUCUGGGGGUUAUCCAUAUGCCCUCAGAGCUAGAAUUUUAAGGGGGUUCACAAGGGGAGGAGAAGGGAUGAAACUGCUGUUGAACUAGCAGAAGUCAUUGCAUGAGUUUCUGCUACCAGGACUCAUUAGUUGAAGCUGGCUUAUAGGACCCCUUUACUGAAAGUGACUCCUCUUGAAAGUUGGUGGUCUAAUGCAUUCCAUCCAUUCAUCUCUCAACAGGCACAAUUAUCUUACAUGUGAUUCAAUAGGAGCAUAUUCUCUUUUGGUCAGCUGAAUUCUGGCAAAUAGCCUGCCUCAGGGUUGUGGUUUUGUGCCCCGUGUUGGGCAACAGAUUCCUGAAUUCCAGGGAGUUGGACUAGAUGACCCUCAUGGUCUCUUCCAACUCUACAAUUCUGUGAUCAGCAGAGCAUAGUGCUAUUAUGCCCAUAAGGGGAGCCUGCAACAAAAUCUGAUUUGGUAUUGUUUUUAUGCAAGAGUUCCUACAUGUGCUAUGGUUUUAACUGUUUUGCAUAGGUUAUUAUACUGUAAAUCUCUUCAAGAUGCUUUAUGGGAAGCAAUUAAUAAAUAAUAAUUUAGGGUUCUUUCUCGUUAAACUGAACAUAGACCCAAUAGCACUUCAUAUAGAUGACUGUCCACUGACAGCUCUUCAGAUAGAAAAUUGUCUUAUGUAAAGCAAGAUACAUAGGGACCGUAUACUGCAGAUGAGACUCUUAAGGCUGGAAGAAAGUAGAUUUCUUGAUAUCCCAUUGUGAAUUUAUAGCAGAGGCAAGAUUUGGACUGGGACAUUACCUACUACACCACCAUGCAGAAUCUCUGGUUUUGCACCAAUUUUAUUUAGGAACCCCAGAGAACAGGCAGAAGCUGCCCAUAUUUUUCACAGCCGCAGCACUCUUGAAUUAUUAGAACAUUCAAAAAUACAAGGCCAAAGUCUUGACUGGUGUAAAUUGUCGCUGCUCGACUGGAAUCAAUUUUACAUCUGCAGAGAAUCUGGUGAAAAGCCCUUUAAGGUUACUUGAUUAAUACUUUAGCAGAGCUGGAAAAUUAUUAGAACAUUCAGGGGCCUCUUCUGUCAUUCCAUGAAGCCCUUGACAUUUAUUGUAAUUAAAAAUCAAAAUGCCUACAAAACAUUUCUCUUGUUUAAAUGUUAAAGAAGUGGUGCUCUCGUCACUUGAAAACACCCAUUCAUCUUGACCCUGAGUGUGGGAGUUUAAUUCAUCUAAGAAGGGAGUCGGGGGAUUUAGUGAUGAACUAGGCAUGAAGUGAAUGUUACAUUCCUCACCUUAUUCCUCUCCAGUAUUUUGUUCAGGGUCAUACACCCAUUUUUGUUGUAUUUUGUCAUCAUCUAAUUAAACUGUGGGUACGUACUGAGAAUACGCAACUGAGAGAUAAGCUAGCUUUAGGGUGGAAGCCAAACUCCACCGCUUCUAACUGCCAGGCUGGAAGGUGGGGUGGCAAGGAAAUUCUGGGUUUAGCUAGGACUGAUUCCACACCUUGCCAGUAGCUGGACAUGUUGAAGAUCCAAAGAAUGCUUGGCUGAUCCAGCUCUGCCCCCUACUCAUCCUGACCCUACCAUCAAAAUGCUUGAUUUUUUUAUGGUAUGUAAGUGCCACCAGUUGUGAAGGUACCACUGACAGUAGCUUCACCUGCUCACAAUUUAGGUGGGUGCAGUCAAGAGCUCUGCAGCUUCCAUUGGUGGAGCCCACCUACCCAGGCAGGUAGGGAUGGGCAGUGGAAAAACCCUGCUUCACCCAUACUCUUUCCAGCAUGGUAGAUCAGGGGGUUGGAUUGCCCUGGCCAGCAGCAAUCUUACGCCUGGGAGUUGUUGGCAUCCGUCUGUCUUGAGGGACAAUGAAAGAAUAUGCCAUCAGGGGUAAAGUCAAACCAUUGGAGAGUUGCAGCACCUGCUAUGGCUGUAGAGACCGAUAUGGGAAAGACAUGUUUUAUUGCAGCUGGGGGAGAUGAACAUGUUUGGUUUUGCAGGCGUUUCUUCUCUCAGUGCUCCUUCCAGUGGUCAUUCCUCCUCUGGUCACUACUGUGGAUACACAACCUGACUGCCUGAGAGUAAGUCUCAUUGAAGUCUAUGGGGCUUACAUCUGAGCAUAUAUACAUAGAAAAUGUGCCAAGUUUCCAGAACAGGCAUAGGCAAACUCAGGCCCCCAUAUGUUUUGAGAUUACAAUUCCCAUCAUCCUUGACCACUGGUCCUGUUAGCUAGGGAUGAUGGGAGUUGUGGCCCCAAAACAUCUGGAGGGCUGAGUUUGCCUAUGCCUGUUCCAGAACCUUUUCCUAAAGCAAAAUGGCAACCAGAUUGGAGCCUUCCCCCACAAACACAUCUGAGAAAUUGUAAGUUGAGUGCUUUGUAAGACUGGUGGAAGUAUCUCUUGAACAUUUUGAACAUCCUUAGCUACUGCUUCAUUAGAUUUGUUGUAACCAACCCUGGGACCUGGGCAGGUAAUAAAUUAUAAUAUUAAGAAUAAAAAUAAUCGUCUUGCUUCAUGCCAGUUGCUUGUGCAUAGGAUUACUCCUUUAGUGUCAGAACUGGGGCUCAGAAGAUAUUCUCAGUGUUUAUAAAAAUAACAUGUGAAUCUGCCCCCUGAUAACAAACUAUUAGAGCACAGCGCAUUUAGAGCCAACCUCUGAUGUUCUGACUUCGCACAUCUGCAGGGGCAAAUCCCCUGUGCUGCAGAGAGGAUGCGAUCUUGUAAGGAAAGUUUGUUACUUUUCACUCUCCCCACCCCCACCCCACUGAAUCUCUGUCCACUCGAUCAGGAAACGCAUUCAUGCCACACGCAGCACUGCUUCUUUGCCUUCGUGAUUGUGAGAAUACUCUCGGGCAAUUAAUCUAGAACAAUAGACACAGUAUUUAUGAAGGCAAUAUAAAUGUUAAUAGCAACGCGGAUUUUGUGUGCACAAGACAAAAAGGUCACGUCCCCCCCCCCAUCAUCGCUUGGGACAGUUUGAUAAUGAACGUUUAAUAAUGUCAAAAUCGUAUUGCUUAUUCAGCAGAGAUGAGAUAUCAUAUCAUGGAAGUCUAUCACCGAUGAUGAAAUCAUUACCUGAGCUGAAUGGGAAGAAAGCCAGUCAGUCAUCUGGGAGGAUUUAUUUAGAUAGCUUCUAACACAAGGAGGACCUUGAUUUAAAUCACUUCGUAAUGCCUUUUUGUCUCUGCCUCUUCAUCCCCUUUACUUUCCGAGCUUUACAAACAGAAUAGAUCUGAAUGACAAUCGAGGAAAUUUUCUUGGUUUCCUAUUUUACGCUGUUUCACCCCAAGUGCUCAAGAGAGGCACUAAUCCUUUGAAAAAGAGGGCAGCCUUCUAACAAAUUAACAUUACAUGCAUUCCCUAUGAGCCACUAGAAGGCAAGGCAAAUUAGGAUUAUCUUUUCGUUAAAAAAAUAAAGUCUUAAGAAGAACACAGGAAGCUGCCUUAUACUGAGUUAAUCAAUUGGUCUGUUGGAUUCAAUAUUGUCUACACUGACUGGCAGCAUCCGUCAAACAUUUUGAGCAGGUUUCUUUAUCUGCCCUACCUGGAGAGAUCAGGAAUUGAACCUGCAACCUUCUGUAUACAAAGCAUGUGGCGUGUAUUUGGCCCUUUUCCAACGUUCAGCUUCCGAGUGAAUUUUCUAGGAGAGGGGUAGCAAACAUAGGACUUACCCACACAUACCUUUACUCCCAAUUUCCAGGCACAGCUUGUGCUUUCAAGCUUCAUGUUUGAUCGCCAUUGGAUCAGAGCAAACAGCAAGCCUCAGAAAGCUCAAAUUAUCAUUUGUUGUGCUUCAGCCUUAUAGAGCAAGUUUUCACAGAGAAAGCUCUAGGGCGAAAGAAAGAGCACUCAGAGAUUGAGCUUUUCAUUGCAGACCUGUGAUUAGAAACCACAGGGCAAAAUGUAAGUGGCUAAUAAUUUAGAGAUAAUUUUAUUAUUUAUACCUUGCCCCAGCCCCAAGUUCAUUAUUUUCAGUGGGUCCACGUAGUUCAUUGCCACUCAGUGUUUUCAACACUGAUGGGCACCGAAUCUCCAGGAUUUCAGGAAAGCAUCUCUCCACCCUUACCUGAAGAUGCUGAAGACUGAACCUGGGACAUAAUAAUAAUAAUAAUAAUAAUAAUAAUAAUAAUAAUAAUAUUUCCCCAGCCUCUCUGGGUGACUUUCAACAGAACAUUAAAAACAGAAUAAAACUUCAAACAUUAAAAACUUCCCUGAACAGGGCUGCCUUCAGAUGUCUUCUGAAAGUCGGAUAGUUGUUUAUUUCCUUAACAUCUGAUGGGAGGGUGUUCCACAGGGUGGGUGCCACUACUGAGAAGGCCCUCUGCCUGGUUCCCUGUAACCUCACUUCUUGUACUGAGGGAACCACCAGAAGGCCCUCAGACGCAUGCUACAACCCUUCCCUUUCAGGACAGAUCAAACUUUUGGGGGGCUUCCUUUAUGAGUACACCCUACGCCCGGGCUAUCUGAAGGACUGUAUUCUCCCAUACAAUCUUCAAGCUCCAUGAUCUUGAUCUCUCAUUCUUGCCACCCUCACAGGUGGUAGGGACCCAGGAGAGGGCCAUCUUGGUGGCUGCUCCCAGAUGUCCCUUACUGGUGAGGCUAGACUAGCUCCCUCCUCGUUGUCUCUUCUUUGGCAGGUGAAGGCUGUUUUAUUCCAGCAGGCUUUGGUGAACCAAAGGAAAGGGCUUUUAAUGGAGUUGUGUUGUGCGAUCUGCAUUUUAACAUAUUUGUUUUGACAUUGUUUUAAAUUCCAUUAUAGCUUAAUUCCUUUUUAACUAUUAUCUUUUAUAUGUUUUUAGCUAUCUGUGUUUUCCCCUCCCCUUCUUUUAAUUUUUAUGAGGUGCCUUGAGUCCCAUUUCUGAGGGAAAGGCAGGACUUAAAUGAAUAAAGUCAGUGUAGUGUAGUGGUUAAGAGUGGUGGACUCAUAAUCUGGUGAGCUGGGUUCACUUCCUCCAAAUGCAGCUGCUGGGUGACCUUGGGCUAGUCACACUUCUCUGAAGUCUCUCAGCCUCACUCACCUCACAGAGUGUUUGUUGUGGGGAGGAAGGGAAAGGAGAUUGUGAGCCGCUUUCAGACUCCUUAAGAGGAGUGAAAGGCAGGAUAUCAAGUCCAAACUCCUCCUCUUCAUAACAAUGCUCUCAAUUGAACAUGGGACCUUCUGCAUUAUGGACCUGCUUUCAGAAGACUCAUCAAGACCCUCAAGAUAUUGCAAUACUUGUUCAGUGGCAGAGCGUGGGCCAGUCAUGCAUAAGGCCCCAUUAGGUGAUGGAGGUGGGUCAAAUGAACAGUUUUAUGUACCUGCUUUCCUCCCAAGGCCCUCAAGGUAUUGCAAGCACUCAAAGGGGAUGCUAGGGAGAAAGUUUGCCCGCCCGUCUCUUUGUCAAAUAUAGCUUAGGUGAUGAUUUGCUAUAGUGAGGAGAAAAGGAUGCAAAGCCGCUUUUGCUUGGCAUUCUUUUACAAGCAGGCGAUAAUGGUUCAUCUAAUGGCUGCCAUGAGAAGUUGCAUACCACCUGCCAAAUCUGCAUUUGCAAACACAGGGAUAUUUUUUAUUCAAUUCUGCAUAUGAACAAUGCCAAGUGGAUGUCAUUGCUCCCCCUCCACUCUCUCAGAUACAUUAAUACAUUUUUAUAACUAAUUACAUAACUUCCCAUAGCAUUCCAGAUCAGCAGUGCAUGAUAAUUUGCUCUUUUUCAGUGACUGAUGUUGAGCAGCAAUGAUUUCAAUGUGUUUUUAAUAUUUUAAGUAAAUUGAAGUGUGUGUGUGUGUGUGUGUGUGUGUGUGUGGUUGGUUAAAACUGUGUUUCCUUCUGUAGUAGAUUAUUUAAUGACUUACUGAAAUGAUAGAUUGUUUUACUUUAAUGAAGAAUUGUUUCUUAACUAGAGUUAUCAUUUAUCUGUAGCUGUCAGAAAUCAUUCAAAAUUUUCGGUGUUUCCCCCUCUUUAUAAUGGAGAGAGAUGCUUUUCUGCCUCACAACUUUUUUGCUCAGUAAAAAGAGAAAUGACCGUCAAAUUCCACACAAACCUGUAGGCGCCCUCCUUAUUGUAAGUGAACAACCCACCUACAAAUUUCCAAAUUAAUCAAAGCCCGUCUAAAGUUAAGUGCAUCUAAAAUCCGUUUGUUCAACUGGAAAAAAGUUUAAGGCAUGUAGUUAAUUCUCCAGUUGAAAUCAACUGGAAAUUAAGAGACCUUAACUGGGUAGAUUGUGCCUAUAGGUUUCCCUCCCCCUUCCUAAAUAAAUUAGUCUCAAAUUAAUUGUUCAUAUAUGUUCAUUUUGCUUAUUCUCCAGCUGACUUAGCUUCUGAUAUGAAAAUUCAUCCUUAUGUAGAUUGAGAGAGAAUUGUAUGCCCAAGCAGCUACCAUAAAGCAAGCCAGUGUAAGGUGAGCUGGCGCAAAGUUAUACCACAUCCAAACCACUGGGGCAACUGCUUCUGCUCUGCCUAAACCUGGCAGAGGGGGGAAAACCAUUGCCUUUAAAAUAGUGGGUUGCCAGGUCACAUGACUGAACUGAACAGGUUUAGGAUCCAACCUAAAUCCCUUCUGCCUGGCUCCACCCCCCUACCACAGCCCUGGAAUGCCCUUGGCCGACUUGCUUCAGCUCAGCCAGUUUGGCUCAGCCGGGGUGAACGAAUUAUGUCGGCAUAUCUUCACCUAAACCAGGGUUACGUACCUUGGCAUCUCAAUUUUCAGUGCAACACCCAGGGGCGUCUUGCCCAUAGAGGCAAGGGGCGUGGGGCGCCAGGGCGCCAAGUUCUAGAGGGCACCAGGGAAGAGGCGGAGGCUGGGCAUGGCACUUCCCAGCAUCAGCUCGCUGCCCUCGCCUGCCUCACUGAAGCAGCAUCGCACCCGGAGCCUCCGCCUCUUCCCCGCCAGAGGAGCCACCCUCCAGCUGCUGCCCACCUCCUCCAACCCUGCAAAGGUGCCAGCAGCACCAUAAAAAGGUUGGCAACUCUGGGAAAGGGGGGGGCGCCAGAGGGAUCUUUGCACCACGGCACUGGAUAUACUUAAGAUGGCCCUGGCAACACCAAAAUCCAGCAUUCUCCCAUCUCUUGCCUUCCACUGGAUGUCACUGUUGUGGCACCUGCUAUGGCUCUCCAGAAGCACUGCGCCUAGUGCAACCAAACCGGUUACUCUACCCACUAGAUUCAACUUGGUUAACACUGGCUGGACUUGGCUGAGUUGGGAAUCAACCAGCUGAACUGGAGAUCUGCUGCAUCUUAAGCUGCUCAUCCAGGCAGAUCUUGCCCAUAGGUUUGACCCCUUAGUUGUGUUUUCAUGAUGGAUCUUACACCGGACUGCAGUUCCACUGUAACAUUGAUCACACCCUGAAUCAUCUUUUUAAUGGAGCCUUGAGUGCAAUGCAUCUGAAUCAGCGGGUACUUGUCCAUUCUAUGGGUGAUGCUGAAAUCUCAUCAGUAGAAGUUGCAUGAACACUGAACAUUAGUAAUGAUCUCACACUUUCCCCCUAAAAAUCAAGUGUCAGAGAGGGCAUUGGGAAUGCAGGUCAGCAAUAACUCACAAGGUGUCAGUGAAGCUAAGGCAAUCUCAUAGGUAAACUGGUCCUAAGUUGUUAUGGGGUUUGUAGGCUAAUAGUAACACUUUGAACAUGGCUCAGUAGCAUAUCAUCAACCAGUGCAGAUCUCUGAGCACAGGUGUUAUAUGCUGACAAGGCCUCACUCCUGUUGGCAUCCAUGCUGCAGCAUUCUGCACUAACUGCAGGUUCUGAAUCAAAUGCAAGGGUAGCCAUUGUCCCUAUUUUCCAGGGACAGUCCCGGAUUUACAGAAGCCGUCCCAGUUUCUGAUUUAAUCCUGGAAUGUCCCGCUUUUCCUUGUUGUUUAGUCGUUUAGUCUUGUCUGACUCUUCGUGACCCCAUGGACCAGAGCACGCCAGGCACUCCUGUCUUCCACUGCCUCCCGCAGUUUGGUCAGACUCAUGCUGGUAGCUUCGAGAACACUAUCCAACCAUCUCGUCCUCUGUCAUCCCCUUCUCCUUGUGCCCUCCAUCUUUCCGAACAUCAGGGUCUUUUCCAGGGAGUCUUCUCUUCUUAUGAGGUGGCCAAAGUAUUGGAGCCUCAGCUUCAGGAUCUGUCCUUCCAGUGAGCACUCAGGGCUGAUUUCCUUAAGAAUGGAGAGGUUUGAUCUUCUUGCAGUCCAUGGAACUCUCAAGAGUCUCCUCCAGCACCAUAAUUCAAAAGCAUCAAUUCUUCGGCGAUCAGCCUUCUUUAUGGUCCAGCUUUCACUUUCAUACAUCACUACUGGGAAAACCAUAGCUUUUACUAUAUGG